This 63033-nucleotide long non-coding RNA is filed under the name Homo sapiens (human). Its description in RNAcentral is "HSALNT0361048". The record is from RNAcentral. Lineage: Eukaryota; Metazoa; Chordata; Mammalia; Primates; Hominidae.
GAACGGUCGCCGCGUCGCCUCAGCACGGACCUCCAGGGAGCUCCUCAGCAAGAUCCUGCCAGGGCGCCCCUCAGCGCGAUUCUGCCGGGGUGCCUCUCAGCGUGGUCCUCCCCGGGGCUCCUCAGCACGAUUCUCCCGGUGCGCCCCUCAGCGCGGUCCUCCUCGGUGCGUCAGUCAUCGUGGUUCUCCCCGGCGCGCCCCUCGGCGCGGUUCUCCUCGGGGCUCCUCAGCGCGGCGCUCUUCUGGGGGCUCCUCGGCGCAGUUCUCCCCGGGGACUCCUCGGCGCCGUUCUCCUCGGGGCACCCGGGGCUUUUCGGCGCGGUUCUCCCCGGGGGUUCUUCGGCGCGGUUGUCCCCGGGGGUUCUUCGGCGCGGUUCUCUCCGGGGGCCUCUCGCCGCGGUUCUGUUCUCCCCGGGGGCUCCUCAGCAUGGUUCUCCUCCGCGCGGUCCUCCCUGGGCCUCCUCAGCGCGGCACUCUCCUGGGGGCUCCUCAGCGCGGCACUCUCCCCGGGGGCUCCUCAGCGCGGCACUCUCCCGGCGGCUCCUCAGUGCGGUUCUCCCAGACUCUCCUCAGCGCGGCCCUCCCCAUCUCUCUGGGAGGGUUUGAACACGGUCAGCACGGACCUGGGCGGACGGCGCGGGACGGGUGAUCACUGGCGUUGCUGAGGUGAGCUGUGUGCCCCGCGGCCGUCCCAGAUCACAGGCGUCAGCAGUGCAGCCUGGCCUGGGCAGUGCGCUCCCAUCUGCACCUUAUGGACAGCGUGGCCAGGGUCGAGGUCCGAGUUCCUGGCCGCGUCCCAAGGAUCGGAUUCCGGGUCUAUAGUUCUCAUGGUGGUUCAGAGUGGGCUGAAUUGGGAUUGGAGUCUGGAAUCCGCAUCGUGGUUCUGAGUCCGCGCUAUUGGGAUGGAAGUUGGGAAUCCAUGUUGUGGUUUUGAGUCAAAGCCCGAAUUGGGACCGGAGUCGGAAAUCCACUUAGUGGUUCUGAGUCAGGGCCCGAAUUAGGAUCGGAGGUGGGAAUCCCCGUUGUGGUUCUGAGUUAGGUAUCCUAGUUGGGAUCAGAAUUCGGGUCUAGGGUCCACAUCCUGGCUGGGAGUUUGCCUGAGUUGGGAUCUGAGUAGUUGGGGUCCCAGUCAGUCCGGGUCUGGAGUCCGCAUGGUGGUUUUAGGUAGGGCCUCAUUAGGGACAGAGGAUCGGGAGUCUGAGUUGGGGACCUGAAUCCCGGUCUGGAGUCUGCAUCAUGGCUCUGAGUUGAGAUCCAAGGGAGGUCCGAGUUGGCGACUGGAGUCAGGGUCUGGAGUCUGUCUUUGGGUAGAGGUUCUGAAUGGGGGGCUCUGAGUUAAGAGAUUGGGAUUGGGGUUAGAGGUCUCAGUGGGGUAUGGGAGUCAGGAAUUGAAGUCGAAGUUCUGCCUCUAGGUGGGGAUUCUGAGUCAGGAAUUAGGGGGCGAAGUAAAGGUUGCAGUCUGAGUUGGGGGUGGUGAUCACCUGCCAGGUGAGAGGUAGUGGUAGAAGUCUCUUGGUCAUAUUGGAGAUGAGAGUUGAUCAGAUGCAGGUCUCAGUCUGGGUAGUAGGCUUGAAGGGCCACCACUAUGUUCAGAUCCCAGUACCCCACUGUGGUCCCUGAGCAGGUCAAAUAGCCUUUUAUAUAAAAUUGAGAGUAAGAGUGCCUUCCCACAGCACUGUUCUGGUUAUGAAAGAGAAUAAUUCAUCCAGGUAGAAUAGUUCUGUCUUAGAUUAUCACAAAGUAUAAAAACUUUCCUGAUAAUAUCCACAUUUGAUGUGCAUUUACCAGUUCUUUCUUUACUGUGGUGCCCCUUUUGCUAGACCAAAAGCUCCCAACGAGGAACUCUGUUUUGUUUUCUGCUGCCUGCUCUGUACCCAGCCAAGAGCCUGAUACACAGCCUUACUCAGUCAGUACUUGAAGGAAAGCAGGCAGGCAGGAUUAACCAGAUUUCUAUGGUGUCUCAAAUGAUCCAUUUCUGCACCUGUUUUCCAGAUACUCAGUAGGAGAAAAAUUUAAGGAUUGAGUUGCUUGAUUAUGGGUGUAUUUUAAUGUGUUUCCUAACAUGCUGAGGAGAAAAGUGGGUCUGUUUCAGGAUUUAUGCUCCAGCUAGAGGGAUUUUUUAAAAUUGCGAAUCAGAGCAUGUCCAAAUUCAGAUAGAAAGCACAAGAAAACUAUAAAGAAUUUCCCUUAUGAAUGUAGAUGCAGAAGUUCCUUGUACAAUGCUAGCUAACUGAAUCCAAUAAUAUGUAUUAAACAACAAUUCUUAAACAAGUGGGAUUGCUCUUAGGAAUGCAAAGAUGAUCCAAUAUCAGAAACUUUAUCCAUGUAAUUCACAUUAAGAGGCUACAGGAGAAAAACCAUAUGGUUCCCUCAAUAGAGGCAGAAAAAAAUGAUGUGAUAAAGUUUAACGCCUAUGUGUGAUUUUGGGGUAGUGGAGUACACCACUUAGCAAGCCAGGACUAGAGAGGAACUUCUUCAACUUGAUACAAGUUAUAAACCAAAACUUAACUUUUCAGUAAACUUGAUAGAGAAAUUAAAAGUGUAUCAUUCUCUUUAAGAUAAGGAGUAGGCCAAGGAUGUCAUCCUGGCCAUACCCUAAUACAAGAAAAAGAAAUGGGGAUGUGAGGAUCAGGUAGGAAGUGAUAAAACUUAGUGUAGCUCAUAGGGUUGAUGGUCUCCAUAAAGAUUCUCAAACAUUUUGGUGUUACGACUUGUUGUAUUCUUAAAAGUUAUUGAAACCCCCAAAGGGCUUUUCUUGAUAGAGAUUCUAUCUGUUGAUAGUUACCAUCUUAGAAGUUAAAACUAAGAAAUGUUUAAAGCAGAACUAUACAAGCACAUAUUCCACUGGGGUCAUGGUGUGCUGCCUCUGGAAAACUCUUUAUCUUUGUGAGAAUGAAAGAAAAGGCAAAUAAUGUCGAGUAUUAUUAUGAAAAUGUUUUUGACCUUUCCUGAAAGGGUCUGGGGGGCUCUCUGGAAUCCCCAGACUACACUUUGAAAAUUACUGGGCUACAUGGAAAAAAAAAAUUAAGGAACUUAACAACUAAAGAGAGAUUUCAGAUUUCAGAGAGGUUUUGGAUAUAAGAUCAGUGUACUCAAAACAAAAAACAAAAACAAACCACAUUUCUUUAUGCCAAUAGCAACUGACUAAAAAAAAGCAUAAUAGAGAUUAGGACAGCAAUCAGAAUAGCAGCAAAAUUUAUACCAGUCUAGGAAUUAACAAAGACGACGACUUUUAUGGAAAAAAUUUUAAAACUCUAUUGGAGGAUAUAGAGGGAGAUCUUUCCAUAUGCAGAGACAUUUUAUUUUCUUGAACAGGGCAACUUGGCAUUAGAAUGACGUCAGGAUUUUCCAAAUCUGUUAAGUUCAACAGGACUCCACUCAAACUUCCAGUUGGAGGGCUUGAGUAAUUUAACAAACAUAUUCUAAAAUGUAUGUGGAAGAAAAAUAUUUGUAAAUGCCAACUGAACUUUUGAAAAGGAGAGCAGAGGACUUCUGCUGGCAGAUACCAGGGCACACGCCAACUUCAGCAAUCAGAGCGGUGUGGUGACAGAGGCCCAGAAGAGAGCUCAGAGGUAACUCCAAGUCUAGAGGAAGGGGACAUGUGAUAAAGGUGGCACCACAUAUCAGUGGGGACUGUUCAGAAGAUGAUGUUGGAAAGCCAGCCCUAAAAUGGAGGAAUAGGAAUAUGGAUUCCUAACUGAGCCCCUAGGAAAAGUAGACUCCAAAUGGACUAAAUAUUUGAAAGCAAAAGGUAGUUGCCAUUUGUUUAAUAGGAGAAAAAAUGAAUAAUCUCCAGGGCCAGGGUGGCCGUGGGGUUCUUAAACAGGAUCCAGAAAGCACAAACCUCAAGACUAAAAUGUAUGAACUUGAAUGCAUUAAUGAUUAUGGAUUAAGGAUUUCUGUUAAAUAAAUCCAUCAUGGCAAGGGUCAAGACUGUUUUCAUAAUAAUACUAAGGAAACAAUUUGCGUUUUUCACUUUUACACUCAUGAAUGUAACUUUGCCAUGACUCAUUACAAGAUAUUUGAAACAAUUAAAGCUGAGGAGGGAACAACAGCUAAAAUAUACCAGAAAGCACCACAAAUCAUUAAGAAAAAGGUAGGAAGAUUGCCAGUUUGCAGGAGGGUUAACAAACAGAUGAAAAUUUGCCCAAGCUAAUCAGUUAUCAGAGAAAUGUAAAUGAAAGCAACAGCUAUUCUUCAUAGGAGAAGCAUUAGAAAGUAGGAUAAGGCCAAGUGUUGGCAGAAGGCAAGGAACAAGCCUCCCUGUGUGCUGCAGGUGGGGACGGAGACAGGCACAGACGUUCUGAAGAGCUGGCCAACACUUCUUCCUCAAAUAAAAUAUUUUAUACCUGUGGCCCAGCAGUUUCCCUCCUAAGUAAACAUGCUGGAGCAGUUCUCACCCAGAACAACGAGAGGCUGUGUGUGUGCAUGCUCAGGGCAGCAUGGCCCAUAGGGGUGGGCAGUUGGAGCUGGUCACUGUGGUUAGGAGCAGGGGACUAGAUGUACACUUCACAAGAUAGAGACGCGUGGAAACACAGUGCUGAGUGACACAAAUGCCAAACAGAAAGAGGGCCUCAGUACAUGACUGUGUAUUUAAAUUAAAAUUACACACCACCCAGACACGCAGUACUAGGGAGUGCUCGUGAGUGCACACACACACACACAAUGAUAUAAAUAAAUUACCCUGGAGAAGCUGUUUGUGUAGGGAGGAGAGCAAGGAUAGAGGCUAGAGAUGAAGUGGAAAAGCAUGGAGAGGAAGAGAGCGGUGACUUUAUGCAGACCCUUACAGGGUGACAGUGUUUCAUAGGCUGAGGGCUGUGAUCAACUCUGUGCAGAGUCCCAAAAGCCAAGAACCAACGAAUGAAUGUGCCUCCAUGACUCUCCUGCCAGAUACCCUCUAGUGGCUUCUAUUUCUAGGAAAUAAAAUUCAAAUUCCAUCAGGUUUUUACAAGAUCUGCCCUGCUUACCUCUCUGACCACUGUCCUCCCUCACUGAGCUUUGGCUCUGCCAGCCUUCUUCUUCUUUGUUAAAUCUGCCAAGUAUCCCUCCUGCCCCAAGGCCUUCACCACCUCUGCCUGGCUUGUCUUUUCUGGUGAUCUUCCCUUGACAAUUCCUUCUUCUUAUUUAAAUCUCACAGGAAAUUUUGCUCUGACCUGCCAUAUCUGUCAUCCCCUUCAGUCACUCACUAGCUGACGACUACCUUUCGAGUCUCUGCAAAGCACAGGCUACGCUUUUCUAGUUCCUUAGACAUCUACUUAUUUGUUGGCUGCCUAUCUCUUCCACCGGAAGAGAGGCCCCAAGAGAGCAUAUCUGUCUUCCGUAUAGGGUCCGCACAUGGUGGGUGUGUCACAGAUUUCUGUUGAAUGGUUUCAUUCAUUUAUUGAACGAAGGAAGAGGCCAGGCCAGGAAAGUGUGCCUCCAUUUUCACAACUCAGUGAGAAAGCAAAUAGCAUGUCAAAAUCUGACCCCUUGCAACCAGGGUUUCUUAGCCAGCCACACUGGUAAUGCUUGGGACAGGAUGUAUCUUUGUUGUGAGGGGCUGUCAUUUAUAUUGUAAGAUGUUUAGCACCCUGCCUGGUCUCUACCUAGUUGAUAUUAGUAAUUCUCCCAUAGUCAUGAUAGCCAAAAAUAUCUCCAGACAUUGCCAUAUGUCCCCUGGGGGGCACCGCAGAUGACAACCACUUCCUUAGAACAGCUCUUGGGACUGGGAUGGUGUCUCUGCUGUGGCUCUUUAAAGGCAGCAGGCCCUGGCUUGCAUCCUGCCACAUCUAACACCUAUAGCCUCACCACCUCGGUGAGAAAGACCCUGGCCCAGGCCUGGCCAAUCAGAGUACCCUCUUCCCUGGUCAGCAGUAUAAUUUGUUUGGCAAGCACUUCCAGUCCCACAACCUAUGGGCUGCCACCCAGAGGUUUAGUUGGAACUACGUGUCAGCUGCCGUCCCUCAGCCAUCUAUGGCAUGGGCACCUGUGGCUUGACCAAGUUGGAGGUGGCCUAGAGAGGCCGGGCUGGGCCUGCUCACCUUCUCCAGUUAGUGCAGACUGAUGAAUGAGUGGUUCUCAGCGGAUACCGGAUCCAGGUUUGCAGUACACUCCAGGAGGAGGACGAGUAGGGUUUCCCUCAGAGCAGGCCUGGAUGGGAGGGCAAGGGGUGGCCUCUAAUACUGCCUUUCCUUCCGGUGCCUUUAUCAGCCUGUGCCAUGCUCCUCUGAACUGGCCGGCCCCAGCAUGUCCAGGUUACUGGCAGGAGCCUGUAUAACCCAGGGUUCCAGUCACACCAGCCAGGAAGGCCCAUGAGGCUGGAGCGCACCCAGUCUCUGGCUGCUCUGUCUGCGGAACUAAAAGCCUUUCUCCCAGAGCCUUUCCUACGGCUGGGCGAAGCUCUUGUUUGCAAUUUAAAUGUGGCCUCAUUUAUGGAAGAAUCCCUGCUCCUCCGAAAAGCCUUGGGCUCAACCUCCCUAGCAGCCCGGGCCUCAGCCAGGAGAAGAAAUGGAUCUAAAAGGCCUUUCUCCUGCUAAUUGUAGCAAUUAGCAUUAGAGAAUGGGGACUCGAUGGGGGGCCAGCGCCUGGCAAAACAAGCUUAUUCCCAGCUUAGGCCCAGGCCCAGCUCCACACACUGCUGCUUGGCCAGACUCGGCCCCCACCCAGGGUCUGGUUGGCUUCAGGGCAGGGAGAGAGGGCCCAGGCCUGUGGGUGCUAAGAGCAGUUGUGGAGGGUGUGCAUCUGAGUUGUUAAGCCUGGUAGCUGUACAGGUAGCCCUGGGCUAUGACUUGUGGUCCUCUCAGAAAAGGGUCUGACUGGAACGCAGAGCCAGACCAGAUAUUCAUGAGUGGAUCACAGAGUGUAGACUGAGGGCUAUCUGGUGAUUGACAGAAAGUAGUCUUGGGGCAAAUGACUCUUAAAGAGUAAGGAGCCAUUCCCCUCUAUGGCUAACUGGAUGCCUUUCUCUCCCCCUGCUCCAGAAAGGACUUCCUGUUCCUUCACUGAGCGUGCUUGCUUAUGAGGCUUCUGGAAACCAGGAGAGUUCAGUGGGCCUCAUUAUUGAGCGUAUGGGCAGGACAACCUGCUUGGGACAUAGGCCAUGCUACAGUUGAUUUUAGCCAGCUUGCUGCAUCUACACAGCACAGUGCCUUCCCAGGCAGUGAAUUAUGUCUAACAGGCAGGGGAAUGAUCAUUGCCUCAUGUUAGGGAUGCAGUCAUUCAAGAAAUAUUUGUCAAACACUCAGCAGGUACUAGACCCUGGCCCAGAGGGAGGGAUUUGAUAGGAGCAGGGACCUGCCUACCCUCCCAGGGUUAGUGGACAAAGGGGAGAAAGACUAACUAAUGUUGAAGGACCGUUUGCACCCUGAGGGGAGUGCUGAGGCCUGGGAGCACAGCAGGUGUAUAGCAGGAACCCACUGGAACUAGCCUGGGGUCUGAAAAACUCCCUUGGGGAAAGUGGCAGGGGCAGGCCAAGGGCCCUCUGGUGGUAGGGAGCCUGUGAGCACCUGGGAUGGAAAGAAGCCAAGCAUCUGAACUACCAGAAAGGCAGCUGCAGGAUUAAGCAAGACCCACAGGUCUCUAAACUUUGAAAGGAUGUCUGUCCACUGAGUAGAUAAUUGAUUGGAAUGGGGCAGGGGAUGUGAGAAUGCCAGUUAGGAGAUGCCUGCAGUACAGAGAAAUGGUGGCCUAUCAGGACAGUGGCAAUAGGGAUGGAGGGAAGCAGGGAACCUCUAGAACUAUGGAUGGGUGAAGUAAGCCUGGCUUGGUGAUGGGCUUGAGGUGAUGGGCAGGUGGUGAGGAAGCGGGUGUAUCGGAAAUGACCCCAGAACUUCUGACUUGUGCCACUGAAAGGAUGGGUGACACUGAAAGGACAGGGGCCUUCAGUAGAGUGGGCUAUAAAAUGAUGGAGGCUGUGGAGAGGAGGUGGGGGCAGGUGACUGGAAUGUGGGUCUGGCUGGGUUGGAGAGACAUUUGGGGGGUCAGGGCCUCACAGGUGGUCUGGAAGCCCUUGGUGCUGAGGGAACAGCUUAGGGAAAUGGUUUGCAUAGAGAAAGGCACUGGCAUUUAGUGGCCAUGCCAGAAGGGAAAACCUGCCAAGGAGACUGAGGAUAGAGCCAGAAAGAUGGCAAGAAAGCCAGGAGAACUGGAGGGAUGGAAAAGAGGACCUAGGGGUCAUGGUCCUGGCAGAGGUCACAUUGGAUCCAGUGCUUGUGAUUCUCUGAUUGCUGGCAGUGGAUGGCCACUGGCCUGCAAAUGGCCCUAGUGGAAUGUCCCCUGCCUGUGUGGCUCCCUGUGGGCUGCCUCUCCCCUGGACAGAUGGGGAGAGACCCCUUCCCCACCUGGUUCUCUGUUUCACCCUUGGAACUGUGGCGGUAAAGAGGACCUCCCCACAGUACGUGCAGGGAACAAGCUAGGUUGACUCCCUCAGGGAGGCCUCGUCCUUGCUGAGGUAUUUCAUAACCUCAGGAUAGAGAAAUCCCCCCAACUUUAAUGCAAAGCCAAGCAAGCUGAAAAAUGGCCUUGAAUAGGCUGAGAUGAAAAAACAAAGAGGCUGUCAACAUCAGAGACUCAGUGGGGGCAGGGAGCUUCAGUGGACUCCCCACAGACAGCAGUUCCUGGGCUUCUAUGCCCAGACCCAGAGGCCUGAGCCCAAGAUGUCAGGAUGGGUGGUCACUGUAAGUGCAGUGGAUUGUAGCUCAGGGGUGAGACAUCGCCUUUUUCUUGUCAGCUCUCCUUCCUGAUUAGUGGCUCAAACAGCCUUCCGAGACUCAAGGGGUUAACUGCAGAUCCUCUAACUCCUCCACUUGCUAAUUUUUAAACACAGCUGAGCUCUGAGCACCCCUCCCAAGGCUGUGAGAGGCCAGAGGCCAGCACAGACUCUGCACCAGGUCUGCACAGCCUCCACCCCUACUGUUGUCAGGAAUCUGCAGGCAUCUAGAACAAAGGUGCCUCCAUUAUUUCCCUCACCCAGCAUAUCCUGAUACCUGAGCCAAGAGUUCACCCAGAGCUUUUGCCCACUUCAUUGAUGGUCUGGUGGGCUUUUGUUGACACAUACCCGUGACUCCCAAAUGAACCUUUCAGGUUGGCUUAAAGCCGCUGGGACCUACACAUGACAAAACCCAGACGGAAACAGUGGCUUACACUCCUGUGUCCCUAAAGGUACCUGUUCCUAACAGUGGGAGUGCCAGAGCCUGGAAGCUGGAAGCCAAGGAGACAGGGACCUCCCUCCUGCUGACCCCCUGCCAGGCCACAUCCACCUAAGGGAUUUGGGAUCAUACUCCAUCUUCAACCACUGGGAUCAAAUGGAAAGCCCUCAGGAAUUCUGAGAGACAGCCCCUAUACCUAUGUGCACUGACACACAUACACUGACAAAUACGCAUUCUGACACAUAUAUGAACAUGCACAUAUGUGUGCCCCACUCCCUGCCAGGAGGUGGGUUCUGUCCCAUCUUUGACAUGUUACUUCUUGUCCUUCCCUAGGCCCAGUGGCACUUUCUUUGUGAUAGGUGCUGAGACCCCCCCGACUGGGCCCAGUGGCUGUUCCCAGGACCCAGUCUCUGCUCUUAUCUUAACCCAGCUCUAGCUCCCAGGACCCCAGCCUUUCGCAGGGAGAGAGAUAGCUCUUUUGGUCUGGCACAUGUUCCAUGCCAAGUAGUGGAAACAGCAGCUGCAGGGCAGCCUCAGACUUGACAUCAUUUAAUCCUUGUGACAAUCCUACAGGGAGGAAGACACUACACAUAUGUGCAGAUGCAGCAAGGAGCAGCUCAGCCACAUGGAAUGACUUGCUUGAGGUCACCAGGCACUUGACACAGCAGAGUUUAGCCCAGUCUCUGGAGAGACCAGCCUUCCACAUCCUGUCAUGCUGGGGAGGGCUGCCCGCUUUUUGUCCCUGCUCCCCCAGUUCUAACCCCGGAAGAGCGAUUGUCCCUGCUGUGCCUUCAGCCCAGACAGAAGCAGGCUAGGAGAGGGGAGGAGAGGCAGGGCUGGCCCUCGGAAGGCUCACCUUCCUCAACAGUUCUCUGCUUGGGCAAAGGUCUUCCAAGCAGCCAGGCUCUGAGGCUAGUCACUGUCAUCGUUGGGUGAGGCAGCCUGGGAGUACCAGAAGUUGGAGCAGGUGGGAACCUUCCCCAGGGAUGGGGCUGGAUAGGCAGGGGUGGGUGCUAAGUGGCAGGCCACAACCAGGCACCUGGGAGGGCCAAGCACCACACUGAGAACGCAGUGCUUCCCCUCCCCUCCUAGGCUGCUCAGGAACCCAUCAGUCUCCUGUAAACAAAUGAGACUAAGUCUCUGGCACUCUAGGCCCAGGUGCAAAGGACAGCUGCCCCUGCAGCUACUCACUCUGCCCUGGCCCUCUCAGGAGGCUUGUGACCUCUGCACCUGCUGGCUUGUUUUGUUCCUAAAAUACCCGGAUCCUUGAGAAUCUAGAAGACACCACUGCUAACAGAUUUCCACAUCAUUCAUUCUGUUCUUCCUGUGCAAGCUUCAUGCUGGGACAGGGACCAUAAAACAAGGUGACCCAAAACCUUCAGCAGAAUGCAGGUAGGCAGAGCAGAGGUCUCUGGGAGUGUCAUUCCAAGGCAGUGUCUUCCUCCUCCCCUAUGCUCCCCAUUUCCCAAGAGUGGGCUUCUUCCACCCCACUCAAGCACCUCUUCCCAAGGCUGACCUAAAGGCCUCAAGCUCUGCGGAUAGGGGCAGUCCUGAGGUGGCAUUGAGUCUUAGGGUUGGAGUGGGAGAUAUCUGUGCAAAGGCUGAUAGGAACGUCCUCCAAGGGCUGACUUCAAAGCUUGGCCUAAACCACUGCAUCAAAGUCAGCAAGCUGAGCUGUUUGCACAGAAAAGGAGGAGGAGCAGGCCCUUGAGCCACCCUGCAGCCCAGGGCUCCAGGAUUCCAACCCAGGGACCUGCAGGCUCCCCUGCUCUCCAGAUCAGACCCCUACUCUCAGAGCCCUAGGCCCAGUGGGUGACAGCCUGUGAGACAGGCCUGUGUGGGGUGGCCCUAGCCCCACCUCAGCUUCCAACCUGACCUUGCUGCAUGACCUCUGGCCCAGCCCUCUCCACCUGGAGUGCCAUCUCUCUUUGUGGGAUGGGCCAGGUGGGCUGUGUGUGGGGGAGGGCAAGUAUAUAGGUGUGGUAUAGGUGGAAACUGCCACAGUAACCAGCAGCAGCUCAGAGCCGGGCCACCCAAUUUGUAUGCCAGCCCCAGCUGGGCCUAGGCACGUGGUGUGUGGAAAUGAACGAAGCAGGCAGCCCUAUGUUUAGGAGGCAGGUCCAGAGCUCACCCAGGCACAGCACAAGAUGAGUGCCUGGCCUCAGUGAGCGAGCACUGGCUGCUAUGAGGCUGUGGUGUGGAACCUUGACACUAGGGCCACUGGCCUGGCUGUGUGACCUCUACCUCAUCACCCAGAGCAGGGCAACCAGAGGCAGAGCCUCAGUGUGGUGUUCUCCUGUGAAAUAGUGAUGGCACAGGCAGGGGCUGGGGCCCAGUGCCUACACAGAGGAUCAGCAAAGGAUGGCAGUUAUUGAAACCUCUACGGGGAAGUUCCCCAGACACGAGAGGAAGACCCCCAUGGAAGCUGUGUGUGUGACGUGCUUAGAUUUUCCAGAGUCUUCAUUUUCCUUGUCUAAACAGAGGUCAUGGCGCCUCCCUCUCAGAUCAAACAGCCCUGUAUGAGUGGCUACAACCUUUGGUGGGCUCAGUGCAGCCCCUCCUGCCCCCUUGCUUGGGAGCUGUCUGCAGAGGCCUAGGGAGCUGCGUGGGGUCUCUCCACCUCAGCCUGUAUCCCCACCCCCACCAGGUCCCCUGCCUGACUCCAGCAUACCCAGGCCCUAGAAGCACCAACUCCAUGGCUGCAGCUGAGUGGAGUGUGUGCCUGCCCAAGCCUAGAGGGGUGCUGACCCCUCCCUCGCACGAGGAGACAUCAAAGGGAAGCAGGAAGCAGCGGCCUGGCUGACCCACAGCGGGUGGGAGAAGUGCAGCCUCACAACUGCUGGGGAUUUUCCAUCCCACCAGGAUUUCCGCGGGACACCCCAAGUCCAGCCUUUGAGGCUCCUCAGGAACCAGAGUUUGGCCUGGAGCCAGUUGGGGCAGAGGAGGGGGGCCAGGCUGGGUGGCUUAGGGGUGUGGUUAGGCCUGCUAAGGGGCUCCUCUUCUCAGUCUCCCCAUGAUUUGCUGGUUACUGGCUUGAAAUCUGGGCCCAGACCCAUUCCAACACUGAACCCUGAGCUCCCUGAGACCUGGCUGGCAAGGACAGGUCCCAAUUUUUACAGGGGCCUGAGAGGAAUGGAGAAGGGAUCUCUGCCCCUUCCUUUCUCAGUCACACCUCCUUGACAGGGGGUCAUCAGAGUGGGCUGUGGUAGGUGCACCAGGGAAGGGACCAUACAGAGGAGGCUGGUCUCAAGUCCUAGGGUGCCUGGGAUGGCCCUAUUGAAAUGCUGCAGCAGCUCUUGUGCAGGCAGGGAUCUGUAUGGACAGCUGGGUGGACACAGGUGCCUACUGACCUCCCAGAUCCUUCAGCAGAGCUCAGCCCUGAGUGACAGCCCAAGGCAGACCUGGCUACCUCAGCCUCUGGCUCACAGCCCUCAGCCAGAGCCCUGAGAGGCCUGGGAUCUCAAAGCUGCAAGGUGGGAGGCCAGAGGAGAGAAGCCCGGAGCUGGUAGUGAUGCUGGCUGAGUGAAAAUUGCACAUUUCCCAACAGUGUGAUGCUCCCUAUCCAGCCUGGGCUUUUGGCAGACUUCUGUGCUUUGUGGAGGAAGCUGGCUCAGAUUCCUCCCCUCCCUGUGCAGUUUGUGUGUCAAGGUGUACUUGUCACACCCAACUCAGGAUAUCUUGCAUCACUUUGUGGGUCCUUGUCCCCCAGAGCUGGGACUGCUGAGUUUUAGCCCUAAGCUCUUGCUCCCAUCUUAGCAAGUCAGGGCCCAGUGUUGUCCUUGCCUCUGCAUCAGGAUGGUAAGCUGGGCAUGCUCCGCAUCACGGAGACCUGCAUGGACCUGGAUUGGGUUGCCUCUAUCUUCAGGCUGGUCACUGGGCAGACACAAACCAGGGCCUCUGGCCAGAGGGGACAGUGGCUCUGAGUUACUUGUGCUGCUCUUUAGGGGUGAGCAGGGGCUGCUUGUGCAUCAUAGUGUAUCACAGGGGAUGCACAUUUACAAUUGAAAGCUACUGGUCCUGGGUAGAAGUGGGGCCGAGUAGGACUUCCCAGCCUUGAACAUGGGUUUGUCAUCCAACUGGGACCCACACUUGAUCCAGCGGCCAUGCUCUGUGCAGCCUGGGCCUGAGGGCAGCCACGCUCAUGUGAAAAGUGCUAGUAGCCAAGCUGCCAUUCUAGUCACCACAGCUGUCCUUGCAGGAGCACAUUGCCCAGGGCUGGGAGCUGUCAUUUCCGUGACGGGAGUGAGACUCAACACUGGGUGAGGGUGGGGGUAUCUGUUGGGAAUUAUUUCAAAACAAUUGUGGAAACUUGGCAGUGGAGGGGCUCUGGGCAUAGGUAUCCACAAUAUCCUAGUCAGGGGUUGGGGUACCCUGGCUCUGCUGAUAAGCCCAAGUGAGCAUACUCCUCCCCCAGCUUGGAACAGGUGGGACGGGCCAGGUGACACUAGUGUGGUCUGUGGUCUGGCCUCCCAAGCCAGUGGCAGUACUGGGGUGGCAGACAUUUGCUGUGUGCUAUCCCAAGGCCUAAAGGUCACACAGCUAGGUUGGAGCAGGGUUUUGGGCAGGAUGAGUAGGCAUUGCUGUGCUCUCAGAAAGGCGAAGCAAACCCCAGAAGCAAGGGGGCGAGACAGGGCAAAGGCCUACACUUUGCCAUCAACUCAGGCCUACUCAAUGCUGGCCCUGUCCUUCCCCUGCCCCUGCCCCAUCAGAUGGUGCGAGCUGGCGGGGCUUAGAGUGAGCCCCCCUGACUCUUCUUGGUGUGGAGUCUGAGGCCCAGAGUGUACAGGCCUCAUCCGUGUGACCCAGCAGGAGGAUGGGAGAGUGGGCCCAGAACUUGGUCAGGCUCAUCCGUGGAGAACAAGUUCUUCCCUAGUCUAGUUGUGGUCUGAGUCCUGGGUGAAGCAGGAGGCAGCCUGGGAAACAGCCUCGUUCUAGUAGGAAUCGCAUUCUCAGGAACGCUGACUGUGCAGGGCCCUUUCUCACUGCCACCUGGGAGGAUGCCUGCCUGCUGGCCAUUUCGGCGGACUGUCAGAGCACCCUCCCUGGGGUCCCAGACCGAAGGCCUGAAGUCCACAUGGGACCCCUGAACUUCUGGUACCUGUGUGGGCUUGUCCCCUCAACCCUGAGUGGAAUGGCAACAGCCAGCUGCAACCCUCCUAGCUUCCUGUCAUGUGCUGUAUGGAAGGGCCAAGAGCUGUAGUCAUCUGCAGAUCCUCCCACUGCACCUGUAGGACUAGCGUCUCCUGUCUGGAUGUGAGCAACUUGCUGGUGGCCUGUGAGAUGGGAGUUGCACUGGGCUUCUGGAUAAGGGCUUCUCGUUCAGGCAGCUUCUUCCACACCUGAUUAGCUCUGACCAUCAGACCCCCCGUGCCAAAAGGGCCCCUUCCCUGGAAUCUGUAAUUCUCACAGGCUGUCCCAUACAUUUUAAAUCCAGGAAAUGUGCUCACCCAUGAGACAGGGAUGGCAAGAAGAUAUGAAUGAAAAGCAACCAGUCCGUAAAAUUGGAAGCCAUUUCACUCCUUACCAGGUACAAAGAUAACAUGCUGCAUGGAUCAGGGACACAAACUUACCUACCUUAUGAUGUAGUGAAAGAAUCUAAAACUUUUGUCUCAGCAGACUCCCUGGAGGAAGCCAAUAACAGGAGGCCUUGACUAGGAGACCUCAAGCCUUGGAAUGUGCCCAGACCAGUGGGGAGGGAAGGCUGGGAGGCAGUCCUCCCUUACCCCUUUUCUCCCAGGCAGACCUACCCUGGGUUCUCUCCAGGCCCCUCCGCCUGAGCAAGUGCUCAGUUGGCCACUAGCUCCCUGCACAUCCAACAAGCCUUUCUUUCCUGUUCCUUCUUCAAGGAAGGCUUAGCCUCAAAUCCAGGGCCACAGACAAAGGACAGUCACUCUCCUCUGCCAGAAAGUCAUUUAUGGGACAUGGAGAAAGCAUCAAAUAUAUUGCUUUUCCAACACCUAACAGUGGAAUAGGAGGAAUAGAAGGAGAACUCAGCCAGAAAGUUCUGGAGCAUAGUCUUUUUGCCAAAAGAACACGUUUUCAAAUGAAAGAGGUGGUGCUGGGGCACUGAGGAAUCAGGGGGAUGGACCCCACUGGAGCUUGUCUCAUGCUGGCAGCAAGUCCCAGGCCUCAAACACAUACCUGGGCCACCUCAGGAGAGAGACUGCAGGGAAGAAAUGAGUUGCAAUGCUCCAGCCUAACCAACUCCCCUUUUGUUAAUCCAAUCCCAGAAGGUACUGGGUAGGGUCAGUUAACAGACAGCUGCCUGUCUCCUGGCAGAGUCUGACCAAGCCCCAGUGGGCGCUUCUCUUCCUAAGUCCUCUGGUGUACCCCAUUCUUCAAGGGAAACGGUCCCCUUAAGAAUCUAUGUGAAAGGGUUCUGAAAUUGCUGUACCAGUUAAUGAAUUAUUUACUCUAAACAAUGUCUUGAUAAAGGGGGAGGAUGAAGUUAGCUGAUGUUGACUAAGGAGAGACGGAGUUGCCAAGGAAAUUCUUCUAAAUGAAAAAAAAAAAAAAGUAAAAGCAGUCAGCUGGUUUUGUCUGACUAUGAAACGUGUCACAGAGCAUGCACCUUUGGCCAUCUUUUGCAUUUAUGAUUUGGAAGAGAGAUGUAGCAGUGAGUGUGGGGCCAGGGAGGGGAAUCCAACAAAGCCAUUCUGCAAGCUAGUGGCUGGGAUUUUGGGGUAUAGAGUAAGAGCAGCCAGCCUUAGAGGCCCAUGUCAUCUGGGCUGCCUCAGAGCUAAAGCUAGGUAACCAGAGGGAGUAAGGAAAGGCCUGAGUCCCAGGCUAGGCUUUUCACAGUUGUAUUGAGAUGGGAAAGUAAGGGAUGUUCCUUGCAGCAGAUGCAGGGCCCAGUUGUCUAGAGCAGUAUUUGAAAUGAGUUGGCAUUUCAGGGCAGUGUUUGUGAUGCCAGUCAGUAGGUAGGGGCUUCUACCUCUUUUUUAGAAAUGUUUACUCUGAACUAAGCUCUAUGCUUUAACAAGUUAUGUUUUAAUAGGAAAACUGUCAUUGAUGGAAUCAUAUGUAAUUCCUACAUUUUUCCAGUUACCCAUUCCUGGGGAAAGCUUAGCCAUUGGACAAACCACCCAGAGCCCCAGGAACCUGCAUUUGCAGACAGCAGUGGCAGGCACAGUGGCCUAGUGUUGAGCGGGGGAAACCUGGCCUCUAUGUGUCUGGUUUUGCAAACUAAAACGCCAUUGCCCAUACUCAGGCUGACAGGUUCUGGAGGUGCCAUGGACUCCUGCUCUGUAUCUCACCUCUAGUUCCAUCACAAUGCAUGAGCUGUCAGUGGGAGCCUUUUAAUGCAGAUGCUAAUACCCAUUCCUAAUGCUAGCCCAUCCCCACACCCUCCUGAGUUGGUGCGAUAUAUCCUGGGAACAAGAAAAUCUGAAGGCUCCUGGUCCUCAGGCUAGCAAGAGCCUUGCCUGUAAGAAGUGGGAGAAGGUCACCUCUCUCAGGAGGCAGAACUAAGGCUGCACAGCACAAGGGAGAUGUCUGAAUGCACAGUCUGGGUGGCAGAAGGACUCCUGUCCUUUCUUCCACACAGACCUGAGCACCUCUCCAGGUGCCACCAUUUUCUGUCUGGGAACAUCUGCUAUCCCCAAGCCUCAGUUUCCUGGUCUACAAAACUGAGAUGGUCUCUUCUAUACAAGGCCCCAGGAGGAUCACUGCAAGUCACUGCAUUUCAUGGUGCCCAGAUUUCCCUGCAUUUCUAGAAUGUCAACAGAGAUGAGUGGGCUCAAGGGGAAGAGAUUCUUUAUGACUAGAGAUAUUCUGGUCAACUUUGGACCCCAGCUUCUAUGGACAAUAGCAUGUGGACAUGAGCCCUGGGGAAGCAGGGAUGACUGAGCCUGAAGAAGAGCUCUCAAGCCUUACACUCUCCAGACCAGCCUUGGGUUGCCUGAACCCCAGCAUAGCCUUAUGGAACCCCUGCCAGGGUCCUAGCACCUGGUUUGACCUGGGCACAAGUACUCACUCACUCACUCACUCACUCACUCACUCGUCAAACAUUCACUGAGGGUCCGUGACAGGCUCCAUAUGGAUUAAGCACUGAAGAUAAAACACUGAAUAGAAACAGCCAGCCUAUACCCUCAUGCUCCUUGAAUGUGAUAGAAGGAGCCAGCCAGUAAACCCUUUACCACAAAUAAACACACAGUUACACAUUAAGAAUGGGAGGGGAGGUAUGUGAUUUUUUACAGCCCAGUCUUAAGCUUUAGAAAUUGGCUCCUCUGAGGAAGGGACAUUUCAGCUAAGAACCACAGGAUAAGACAGUCCUGGCCUGGGGAAGGGGAGAGAAGGUCAGGAGAGAGCUUGAUAUGUUUAAUACUGAAAGAAUAUUUGAUGAGCUGGGACAUCUCCUGCAGAUCCACGGCUCCCUAGCUUUGUGACCCUGGGCCCUAGACUCAAUCCCUCAACCCUUAGGAGAUUAUCUAUAAAACAGGAGUGAUAAUAUUCUUGUGUUAAAAGCUGCUGUGAGGAUUAGUGAAAUGAUGUCUAUAUUUGCCUGGCAAACAGGAAGUGUAAGUAGUAGUAUCAUUUGAAGAUUAUUCUUCAGCCUAAACGUGUGUUCAUUAUGGCCGGUGUGUUUUCUCCCCACCUAGAUGGUAGUGCUGGGCCUCCUUUGGAGUACCUUGAUGUUUGGGGAGCAUGGAUGAUAUGACCAUAACCUGAGAAGGCAGGGACUGUACCCAUUCUGGUCCUCCCAGGUCCCAGGGCCCCCACAGUGCCCUGGUGUGUGAUCAGUGCCCACAAUACUGAAUAGAGGAACAGACACAUGGGAAGCAACGGCAGCCUGGUCUUUAAGGGUGAGGGAGCACCUUCUCCUGAGAGAGGGAGAGAUAGGUUGGGGGAGGUUGGGUGGGGGUGGGGAGAGCGAGUGAGCAAGCAAGCUAGAAACUUCCUGAAAAGGGAAGUUACUCUAGAAAAGGGUAAGUUCCUUCCAGGCAUCAUGGGCUGGCUUAACCUGGACCAGUUUGACUUUACUAAGUCCCAUUUCUCAUCUAGGGAGCCUGAGGCCAUUAAGGUUAUCUGGUCCCAAAAUCCCCUAGAGCUGUCACAGGGAUCCCCAUUCUUUGCCUUUAGUCACCCCAGCCCCAAGAGCCAUCCUCCACAUGGAGUGAGCAGGGAGCUACAAGGAAAAGACGGUCACAGUUGGAGAGAGACAGAGAACCAGGUGGGCUGGUAGGACAGGAAGGUAUAGGGAGAAAGUGAAGCUCUCUCCUGGGGAGGCAGGAAUACUCUCCUGCUUCCUUCUACCCACUCUUCAUAGAACACAAACACUGCAAAAAUGACUUUUUCCAAACCCUCUUAGCAUUCAGAAGUAGAAUUGCUAUGUAAGAAUUUUUUCAUAGGUGCUUUUUUGGGGGGCAUCUAUUUAAAAAAUAACCACAUCAUUAGUGAAAUCUUCCAAAGUCUCUUUUUGGAGCCCACAUUUCACUAAUGUCCACAUCUGAGGAGGCUUUCAUAAUAAAAGAACACAUACCUAUUUCACCUAUGAUGGUCAGUGCAAUCUUGAAAACACUAGUAAAUAGUGUCCAUCAGCUUUAAAAAUACAAACCCAAAUUGGGUCAUACCAAAAUGCAAGGAUACACACAAUAACCUGGGUGAAUCUUCAGGGAAUUGUGCUGAGUGAAAAGAGCCGAUCCCAAAAAGGUGAUUUGCUAUGUGGUUCCAUUUAUAUAAUUUUCUUGGAAUGAUAAAGAAAUGAAGAAUAGGUUAGUAGUUGUCAGGGGCUAAGGACAGGGUAGGGUGGGAGGGAAUUGGGGGUAGCUAUAAAAGGGGGACAUGAGGGAUUCUUGAAGAGUUAGAAAUGUCCUGUAGUGAGACUAUCAAUGCAAUAUCCUGGUCAGAAUAUUGUACUACAGUUUUGCAAGAUGUUACUAUCGGGGGAGACUAGGUAAAGGAGUAUGUAAGAUUUCUCUGUGUUGUUUCUUAGAACUGCAUGAGAAAUGUACAAUUAUCUCAAAAUAAAAAUUUAUUUUAAAAAAUGCCCAAAUUAAAAAAAAAUCAGUAGUCCUCCUAAAAAUACCCAGAAAUGAAUUUUAGAAUGUCCAAAAUCCAUACAAAGAUCUAAAAAAAUAUGGAAGGAUGUUGCAAUGGAUUUGAACAUGUGGGUAAACUGCUUCUAUUUGUGGCUGGAAAGACUUUUUUUUUGAGGUGGGGAAGGCAAUUCUUCAUCAGUUAAUCUAAAUUGAAUGAAGUUUCAAUAACAAAUGCCAAUGGGAUAUGAAUAUACACACAGAUAGACAACUUUUUUUUUUUUUUUUUUUUUAAUUAGGCAAGCUGAGGCCAGGUGCAUUGGCUCACGCCCGUAAUCCCAGCACUUUAGGAGGCUGAGGCGGGCAGAUCACUUGAGGUCAGGAGUUUGAGACCAGCCUGGCCAACAUGGUGAAACCCUGUCUCUAAUAAAAAAAAAAAUUAGCCAGUCAUGGUGGCAGAUGUCUGUAGUCCCAGCUACUAGGGAGGCUAAGGCAGGAGAAUUGCUUGAACCCAGGAGGUAGAGGUUGCAGUAAGCCGAGACUGUGCCACUGCAUUCCCGCCUAGGUGACAAAGUGAGACUCUGCCUCAAAAAAAAUAAAAAUAAAAAAAAAAUUAGGCGUGCUAGUUCUAAGUUUAUAUGAAAAAAAUGCAUGUCCUAUAAAAUUCAGAAGUAGCAGCAGUCUGGCCCCUUGUGCUCCUCUAGCCCUCAACUGGCCUAACAGGCCCUAGUGUGCAGCAGGGACUAUUUUCCCAUCAUCACUGUCCACAGCAUCUGGACAAGAAUACAGAGAACGGCUGAUUUAAAAAAAAUCUAAUCUGGGAUCCUAUGCAUCCUAAAUAAUCUUAUGAGGAUGCACUUGUAUUUUUUCUGAUGCUGAUACUAUUCAUUCCAACUCGCCUCCCCAUCAGCUUUGUCAGGCACUGUGAAUUGCAUGGUACACAUGAUUACAAUGGAUGGAAUGGCCAUCAUGAGGUAUAGCAAUACAUUUAAGUAACACUGUGUCACUACUAUAGGACAGGCACUUUUCUGCAUACUUUAUAUUAUUAAUUUGUGUAAUCCUCCUAACAACCCUCUGAGGAAGGUACUCUUAUGAUUCCCAUUUUACAAAUAAAGAAACUGAGACUAAGUGACUCACUCAAGGUGUAGCAGGUAGAAAGUAGUGGAAUUAGGAUAUGAGUUCAGACUCCAGACCCUGUUAUUAGCCCCUGUCUUUGGCUAUGGAUUAGUAAAGGAGAGCACAGCCAAGGGUGGGACAGGCAGCUGUAGUCCUCUGGACCAGCUUCACAUGGAUGGGGCUGCAUUGUUACAGGUGGCCUAACUCAGACAUGGAAACUGAGUCGCUGCUGCCCAACUCAUGCCAUGAAACCAUUUUGGCCUGCACAGCUUAUAACAGCACUCUAGCUCUAGCUAUGACACUUUAUGGUGUUAGUGGGUUUUUUUGGUGGUUGGUAUGGAGGAGGGGCUGGGCUACAAGUUUUAGAUUAUGUUUCUUAUUGCGGGUUUUUAAAAAUUCUUGAAUUAGGCCUAUUUGCUCUUUUGUUCUCUAUUGAGUUAGCAAAUUCAGUUUUUCCAAGAUGCCCUGAAAGUAUGAUCAUACAUGUAUACGAAAUGGUCCUUGGGUCCAGCUGGCAACUCCUGUGCACCCCCGACCUGGAUUCUGCCUUCCUUGAAGUGAGCCUUGGAAGAAACAAGUGCUCAUGCUCCCUGACAUUAUUAGCUGCCACGAUGAAGCCUCAGUCCCAAACACCCCAGCUUCCUGUCUAACUCAAGAGCUAAUCCUGUGUUUAAAUCUUAAGAGUGUUUAGAUCUUAGGCCAUGCCAUGAAUUCCCCUGGUUGACUGCAUUUGUGAAAAUGAGCUUCCCAUUAUUGGCUCUUAAGUAAUGGAGAUGAGGGGGAGUCCUGCUACACAGAUAAGUGCAUCAUAAAGUUACAUAAUUAAAAUAACUGAGCUCUGGCCUAUCAACAGGCCCAUCAGCAGUCCAGAAUAGAGUCUAGAAAUGGACACAAAUUAAAUGAGAGUUUGAAAUAUGAUAAAGGUAGCAGUUGAAAUUAGUAGAGAGAUGAUGAUGUACUCAAAUAAAUAGUGUUGGACAACUGGACAAAUAUAUGGGAAACCAAAUUGGAUUUAAUUACUCUGUCAAAAUCCCGAUAAAGCAAGGAUUUAAAUGUAAAAAAUGAAAUAAAAAAUGAUAGAAGAAAACAUGGAAGAAUUUAUUAAAACAAUUUCAGGAUGAGAGGUUAUUUCAGAAUUUAAGAUAAGGACCUCAAACCAUAAAAGACUGACACAGCUGACUAUGUGAAAUUAAAAAAAUUCUGCCACCAGAAAAAUAUUAUAGAAAAAGCCAAAACACCUAAGGAAAAUGAGGAUAAAAUAUUUUCAAUGAAUAUGACAAAGCAAGUUUCUACAAAUCAGUAAGACAAGGUAUUUUACAAAGUCCAAAGGGUAUGAAGAAAUAGUUCACAAGAAAGAAAAACAAAUGAUUUUAAGCAUUUGGAAAGAUAAAAACCUCAUUUCCAACAAAAGAAAUGUAAAUUAAAGCUCCAGUGUACCAUUUCUCAUCUAUGAAAUGAAUGAAGAUAAAAACCUGAGUAUACACUUGGUAAGGGUGGGGGAAGAAAGUGCAUUUGUGCAGUCAAAGUGAUGUAAAUGGUACAGCCCUUAUUUGGCAGUAUCUAUCACAACAUAAAUGAACAUUUUAAUCCUGCUGGAAAUGGGGGGAAAGGGAGGAUCUCUUAAAGUAAAUCCACUGAAAACGGAGACCAAAAUUUUACAAUAGAGAUAUUUGAUUGGGAAGUUAAUUUGAAAAAUAACAGUAGUUAAAAUAUUAUUUUAUCUCAUAUGCAAUAACAGUUGUUAGAGUUACAAUUAUGUACACGUUUUAGAAAAAAACAAAUCCAGAGGGGAUUUUGGUUUGUCUUUUGUAAAGCAUUAUAUGGUAACAUCUGAGGGCAUCUUUUAUACUUGGCAGAGGAUGUUGGCAGCACUUCCACAGAGAGGAUCAUUUUUUGUAGAAGUAUGGCAUGGUUUCACUGCUUGACCAAGAGGCCACCUGCAUCAAUUAUCAUCUCCCCUGCUGUCCUCUGAAAUGCUUAUCUAGGCAUCGAUCUUGGUUUCCUCUUCAACUGAUUAACUAACUGGUCUACUCUGCCCAGUCUCUAUUUGAGAAAUCAUUUGACAUCAUUUUCUUUAACUUGAUGAAAUCUCCUAUUUUGACAAGAUUUACAGUUCCUCUUUAUAAGUUCCUCUUUACUUUGUGUGUGCUUUAUAUUGUCUUUGGUUGACAAGAGACAGCCAAAGAGGUCAGUCAGCAGAGAUACAAGUAGGGAUAAGAUGGAUAGGGAGAAACAACAGUGUUCAAUAGGGAGGGAUGUUUCAGGGAAACUAAUUUCAUAAGUGGUCAUUUCAGUAGUGAAUAUAUUUGAAUGGUUAAUGGCUGCUGUUUUUUAGCUGCCCUACAUAUCCAUCAACAGAGGAUCUGUUCCAUAAAUCAUGGCACAAUGAAACUCUGCAGCUGUUAAUGAAAAGGAGAUUUGCUAGAUGUCUUAAUACAGAUCCAUCUCCAGAACAUACCAGUGUCUUCCUUUUAAGUGGUGCACACUGGGGCUGAACACUUACUAAGAAAUGAAAGGGCUCCCCAGUCAAAGCUGACAGGUGUCAUUACAACAUGACCCCUGUGGUAGAUCCCAGCACAAUACACUGGCCAUCACUCCAUUCUCUUCAAAUGUCCUAGGGUUGCUUCAUACAGCAGACCAUCGUACCCAAAGCCACUAUGCAUAUGACUUGGUUAUCUCCUGCCAGGCUGUAGUCCAGUUAGUGCUCCCUUGGAAAUACUCAAGACCUUAAUGAACUAUCUAUCUGUGAAUCUGUGAAGCUACCCAUUUCUUAGAGGCCUCUUUGGAGAGCUGGCUGUUGAAUACCCAGUAUGAUGGUCCUUAGCCUUCUUAGACCUUUCCUGUACCACUACCUCUAUGCCUUUUGCCAAGUCCAAGUGUUCACCAGAAAUGGAACUGAUGCCAGAAAGACUACAGCUAACAAUCUGAGCAGAACAGUGAGCAUGUCCUAUCUGGGAAAAGCCCAGCCCAUUGGGCUAAAUCUCUAGCUGAACACAGAGACUAUGCUCCUUCCAAUUAUACUGGAAGCCCAACCAUGAGAAAACAGCACUUCAACUACACUGUUCAGAGCCAUCACCUGUUCACACGUGUGUCUGUAUACAUGUAAACACACAUUUUGCAAUAAAAAUGCUUCUCAGAUGUACUGCACCAUAAUAAAUCAGCAUUGUAUGUACAGCUCAAAAAGAAGUAUGGCAUACCUAUGGAAGAAGUCAAAGGCAAAGUGUAGAAAAAUACAUACAGUAUGCUACCAUUUGUAUAAAAAGGAGCCGUAUCUACUAAGUACAUGCACACACAGACACACGUAUAUUUGUUUAUAUAAAAUACGUCUGGAAAGAUGCAAUAGGAAAGUGUUGAGUGGUAACCUUUAGGGAAGGAAACUUGGGAAUUAGGGUUGGGUGGGGAGAGUGUUAUUUUUCACCCCUUUUGUACUCUGAAUUGGUUUUACCAUGUGUGUAAAGACUGUUGUAUGAUUUUUGUAGCACAACCCUUGAAUACAUAAAGCACGAUUGGCUCCCCAGAAGGCAGGUGUUGGCCAGGCAGUGGAUGCACGGUAGGGCAGUGUGCAGCCCUGCAUGCACGUGGCUGGUAUGCCCUGCGGGCAGCAGCUCCCCGCACACAGUGCUGUGAGUCUCUGGUUCAUGUCACUCUGUGGAGCAGGGGCUGCUCCAGCACAAAGAGGUUUUUGACAGGGAAAGGCAGAGCCAGAGUCAGGGCAGGCCCUGGGCGGGCUCCUAGAGAGCCCAACCACCCUCUAAUAAGGGGUGCUCUCCACCCUAUCUGAGGAGCAAUUGGGAUCUCCUAGGAAGUGAAACUGUUACGUAUGUCUUAUUACAGAAUUUCCAGUGGAGUGAUUCUGGAAGAAAUGUGUAUGGCAUGUUGUGACUGCUAUGUCUCAUGAAAUAUUUACGUUUUUAUGUAACUUUUUUCCAUUUUCAGAUCAUCUUUUAUUUUAACGCAAAAUGACAAUAUAUUUUUCAAUUAAUUUGCCCAAUAUCUGUGUUUAAAUGUUUUCUAAUGCACACACGUGUUUUAAACUCAUUAAAAAAAUAUGACUUAGAUCCCAUCCCACUUUCAUGUUUUAUAUUGCCAAAACUCUGCUUUUGGGAGAGGUGAGUUAUCUUCACUUCUGAAACAGUACUGCUUGGGAGCUGGUUUGGCCCUGGCUAUUCUGGGGAAAUGACACAAUAUUGACCUAGAGGGGCCCUAAUCUUUCCCCGCUAGAGCACUACCUCUAAUAGGGUGAAGGAUGGGAGAAAGAGGCUAGUGAACCCACCUUCAGGUCUGUCCACUCAGGACAUGCCCACACUAGCCUCUCCAGGGGCUCUGCCCUUGGCAUCCCCGUCCCCCACCUGGGCUCUGGCAGAGAAGUCAGGCGGGAAGAAGCCGGCUGAGUGCCCGCCACUGUAAGAGGAAACGAAGAGAAACAGCUCCAGUCAGCCCCAGAAGCGAGGCCUGGAAAAACUCUGCAGCUGGAGCUAACACAAAGGACUUUUCAGACCCUGCAGCCAAGGUGCCCAGUGAGCUUUUUUUUUUUUUUUUUUUUUUUUUUUUAAAAAACAGCUAUUAGGGUGACAAGCCUUUCCAAAGGCCAGCAGUUGGCGAGAGUUUCCAGGAAGCUGGUCUGGCACUGGGCUGGGAUUGGAGCAACUUUAACGAGUUAAGUUCAGAAGGAAGGAGUCAUCAGGAAAGGUUUAAGGUUCAACAAACUUUUCAAAUUAUUUUGCAAAAAGUUCUGGCUUUCCAAUUCAAAGGCAUGUUUCGCUGUGACUGUUUUAAGCCAGAGCCUAUUUAAAAGGCAACACAACUAGCAUGCUUCAGAUUCACUCACUCGAGGUAUUUGUCUAAAUCCUCCGAAUGGGCUUUGCAAGUGCCAUCUAGUGCCUAGUAACACUGGGGCCAUCUUACACAUCUCGACAGGCAGCCCUCCUCCCCACGUGCCUCCCCCCAGCCUCUGUGGUCGUGUGCGCGCGGGCGCGCACACACACACGCACGCAUGCACCUUCCCUAAGCAGGAAGCUGCUCUUUGCCAAGAGCGAAUGGAAUUCAGAUUUCCAGAGGGUGUCCUUGGCCUCCAGCUCUACGGCUGCAUGAUGAAGAAAGGUCCUAGUGUGUGUGCCGGGGGCUGGGAGAGAGGGGCCUCCAGCUCUGCUCACAUCUAUCUGGGCCCCAAGAAAAACCCACAACUGGCUGUGCUCUCCCCAGCCACACCCAGCCUUGGUCACAUUCCUUCCCUUCCUGAGCCCACACUGGGUGGCCCCGGCAAACCAGCUUCCACACCUCCCUCCCCACCGGCAGGGAGACCUAGCCCAAGCCCCCAUGGGGCAGCCAGCAAGUACAAAUGAGGGGCUGCACCCCAGGCCCAAAGAGCCAGAAAGCACGGAGGGCCCUCCCCCCACCCCACCCCCAAUGCUGGGCAUCCCCUUGUGGCUGCUGUCACUCAUGGGGAAAGAGACACACUCCCUUGUCUAGCACCCGGUGAGCUGAGCUCCCAUCCCUUCCUGUGCCUGCUUUCAGGAAGUCCCUCUUCAUAUCCAACCUUGACUCUCCUGGCUGUGGUGCUUGUGGGCCUGGGAUUGAAGGGCCAUCACUGCCCUUUGCACCAGAGCUUCCCAACAUACCAGCAAGAAGGGACUGUACCCCUUCCCCUGUCCAGUCUGGGCCUUCCAAGCCCUGAGAUUCAGCAACCUCAGGAAUUAAACAUUUAUAGGAAAACACCUAUGCAGACAAGGGACAUGAGUCAGGGUGGUCAUCAGCAGUAGCAAGGUGGGUAGGCUGGUCACGUUUAGCUUCUCUUUAGCCCAAGUAAUAGGGUCUUCCACCUGCAUGGCCAGGGAGGGGAUAGGCUGAGAGCAAUCUUUCUACAGGCUGUCAGCAUCAACAAGUGGUUGUGAUGAGCAGGAGUCUGUAUGGCUUUUCAGGUGUUCCGGCUCAAGGAGGCCCAACACCAAGUUGGAACCUCCAGGCCUGGUGCCUAGGCAGAAGGUGGGCUAAACAAAGGCCAAGGGGAGCUCUGCUCUGUCACUUCCCUUUGUUUGCUAAUGAGACUGUUUCCAAAAGCUGGCCUGGUAGCCUGUGGGAUUGUUUCUCUCAAGAUUUCUUCUAGGGGAGAAGGUGGCUGAGGCUUUGCAGUCUGCAUCACCCAGUCCCCAGAAUCUACAGGGGACUCAGCUUGCCUAGUCACAGUUCGGCUUUUGGCCUUGGCUCCAGGGCCCAUUCUGAUCCUCGUGCUUGGGUCAGGGAUGGUCAGCACCCCUGCCCUGAUGCUGCCUGCUGGGGUCUCCUGCUGAGUACCGUGAAGGCCUACUGUGGCCUGAGAAGCCAACUUCACUGUCCCUUUUGGCCAGCCCUAGACCCUAUAUUUGUUCAAGUAACACAUUGAUUCACUGGCUUCUCCUUUAGGCAAGGCCUGCAGGGGACUCAGCUGGGGUUCAUGAUUCCUUGCCACCUGUGGUGGGCCUGCAUGGCCAGCCCAAGGCCUCAAGUGCCACAUACUGCUCCCCUGACAGUCAGGUGGCUAGGGUAUGACACUCAAGAAAAUGCCCAGGCAGAACCCAGAGUUGGGGUCACUUGGUCCAGCCCUUCUGAAGGGGACUGGUUGGAUCUGUUGCGGGGAGGAGACAGGCCAUGCUGGACCAGCAAAAAAGCAUAGAACUUGGAGUCUGGAACCUGACAUCUGGCCUUGGCUCUGCCAUCAGCUGGCUGUGUCCACUGGGCAAGGUCCUAUCAUAUCUGGUCUCAGUGCUUCCAUUUACCCAGAGUCCUUCCAUCACCUGACACCUACAGGGAUGCUUUCCCAAUCAAAAUUCAGGCCAUGUGGUUUGAUAAGGCCACCUUCCAAUGUGGAAGACAGGCUGGUAAUGGAGAGGCCUGGGAGCACAGAGCUCCUAGGCACUGCCAUGGAAUGUGGGGACCUUAGGGAAGGAUAUCUCAAUUGAAGCUCUUCAGAGCCCCUGGGGUGGACUGUUCUGUACUCUCAUCCCCUAACCCAUACCAGCCUGAGCUCAAUCAUAUCAGCCUGUGAAGGCUGCCCCACCACACUGCUUCUGCACCCACCACACCAGGCCCCCUUGAGCUCCCACCUGGAGCCCACACACCCAGCUGGUGGGGUUCGUGGGGCAGUUCAAAAAGAAAAGCAGAAAAAAGCAUUUGAGUAUUUUGGACUGGAAGGAAUUCAAUUUAACUUAACAAAUCAGGACAUGAACCUAAAGAAAACACUGAAAAACAAGCCCAACUUUGAAAGGCCCAAAGAGGGAGGAUUAGGUGGGAGAAGAAAGGUCCCCUGUGGGCAGAAGACAGCUGCUCAGUCCAGACCAGGGACCAGGGGAGGAUACUGGGCUUGAGUGCAGACCGGGCCAGGGUAGGGAGACAAGCCCAACAUACACUCGAGGACUUGAAGUCAGGGGUGCUAGCUGACUUUUUAGCCCACUCUUUCUACCCCAGAUACAGAGACUAGCUGCCUGAGGAAGCAUAGCGGGGCCCACAGGCUGGCUGCCUGGUGCUGCCCACCUCCUCUCCAGGGCUUGGCUCCCUGGGGCAGAAGGCUCAGACCUAUAACCACAGUGGGGUUGCAGGGAUUUAUUUGGGGGAAGAACCCUGACUGGGUCAGAAUGAUUAUGUGCAUGCAUGUAUGUGUAUGUAGCUCCUUGUUCUCUGAAAAGCCUUGCCUACCACCCUACUUCCCAAGUACCCUCUAUUGCCUUGCAAAGUCACCCCUGCUCUCUGCCUCAGUUUCCCCAGCAGGGCACCACAGGACACUGCUGUGGCAAGGUUUAUACUUAGGGUGCAGUGCAGUCUGAUCUUGUAUAAAUGCUCAGUGCCAAAGACUUAGGAGAUAAGUCAGGCAGAGUCAAAAUUAACCUUUGAAAAAUCCCUUGAAUUGGCCCUAAAAAUAAUCCCUUUCUCAGAUCUUUGUGUAUAUCCCCUGCUGGGUUGCUCUUCUGCCUGCUAAAGUGGGAGAAUCUCUGGGUGCACAUCCAGAGUACCCUGGGAGAGGCAUGCCAGGUGUUCCUGUACCUUUUUCAGGAUAUUCCCAGUGUCAUCUUCAGAGGGAGCCUCUGAGGCUGCAGCCACACAUGGGAAAAGAUUACUUAUGGAGAAGAUCAGAGGCUAAGGGGCUGGGGAUGGUGGGGACAUCGGAUUUUGAGGUCAGACCUGGACUCCUGUCUACCUCUGUCUCUCUACCUUUUAUUUUUCUUUCCUUUUCUCCUAACAAGGCCCUAUUUCUAAGAUGGCACCUCAGGCCUCCCAUGGGACCAACCAGGCCUGACAGACUAACUGCUCAGACUAACUGCCAGACUUCCUCCUGCUAGCCAGUCACUACCAAGGAUGUGUGCCUCAGAUACAGCCCCUGCCCAGGACACCUACGUUGUCCCUAACAGGGCCCACAUAUCUAAAGCAUGAAUGCCUAGCCAGGGGCUCUGGGGCACCAUAAGAAGGCAUGAAGCUGGGCCUGCCAAUUUGCAUCCUGGGAGGGCAGGUCAGCCUUGUCCAGGCAAUCCAGGAGGCUUCCCAGUGGCCCACUGGCCAGUGAGGACCUUUGACCUCCUUGGCUGGUGGCACCAGGUUUAUGAUGCACAUAGAGGCUGAACUUGAAGAAUUCUUAUUGCAGAGGGCAGCCACAAGAGCCACUGGCCAGUGCCCAGAUAAUAUCUGCAGACUGUUCCCUCCUGCUCCAUGGGCCACAGAAUCCCUUUGUCUUGUUACUGCUACACUGCCUUCCUACCAAUCUUCAGGGUUCAUCCUGGCCUCUGCCAUGCAUAUCCAGGCUCCCCCAGAGAUUGUGUGUCUGGGAAUGAGCCCUGGCUUCUGCUCCUAUCUCCCAGUGAUACUGGCAAGUCCCUAUCCUUCUUGAGGCUUCAAUUUCCCCUUCUGUGAGCUGGGAGGACAGGCCCACUAGAUGCUCUCUGAGGGACCUACCAAGGAUGUGGGCUGUGUGUCUCAGCCAACAGCAGUAUCUCCUAACCCCAACACAAGAAAUACACAUAGUAGGUGUCUGGUUAAUGCUCUUGGAAUUUCAGCCUAUACUAACCAUCUGAAAGCCACUGAGUCUGAACUCUGCUACCAUAUUUGAGAUUAUCUCUCCAUUGGGCACCUAUGGGUUGCCUAGAGACAAGCUACCAUGGUCCUCUUCCCUCGCCCGUCAUGUGCAGGGUCAAAGGCAGGUGAGCUACACAGCUCGCCCUGCUCUUCACUCUGCUUUAAUGUGGGUGCUUGCCUUGGCAGAUGGGCCCGACAGUGAUAAGAACAAAUGACAGAUGCAUACUGGGGCACCUGUGACUGCCAUGAGACACAGUCCACUGAUUCUGCCUCCAACCCCCUCCCCAGAGCAGAAUAGUGAGUGCUAGGUUUCCGCCUGUACCUCCACGGGACCCCAACAGCUCCUGAACCCCAUUCCGAGAUUUGAGGUUGUGACUUGGGGACCUCUAGACUUCCCUUCCCUCCACCUGACUCCAGACUGUCCUGGAGCUUGGGACUCUCAGGCCUCUAGGCACAUCUUAUUAAGGACAGCAGCUGACAGCCAUAUGUUGUGACCCCAUUUGUAUCCCAUGGUAACUCAUGACCUGGCAGUCUCAAAAGCUCUCAGGCCAAAUAAGGAAUGUCCCCACAGGAUCUCCCAUCACAAAGAGACAUUCUAUGCUGGCUAAUAUUUUCAGGCAUUUCCCCGAGUCAGGUAUGUGGCUGGAUGCCUAACACCAUCUCCUCAAGGCCUUACACUAAUACUGUGAGAUAUACUCCCAAUGUAUACAAGAGGAAACUGAGGCUGAUAGAGAUUAGGUGACUGCCCCAGUGUCCUGUGGGCAGGAUGAAAUGACCCAAGCUGGCCAGGGCUCCCUGACAGACCUUGUCCCUGGAUUCAGCGAACAUACAUCAAACCAUUAGCUGACAAGGAAUGAAUCUGACAAGCUGUUCAUGACCACCACACUGAAAACUACAGGGCAAGGUAAAAGAUAUGAAAGUCAACCUAAAUAAACAAGGGACACAUGAUGCCAUGUUUCAGGAGCCCCAAAACUAUAAGGAUACCCAUUCUCCCAUGCCCAUCUAGAGGCUGCUGCGCCUAGAGGAGGCUUUCCAUGGCAACUGGCAUAUGUAUGGUGAGGAGAAACCCUGCAAAGACAGCAAAGCCAGUGAUGGGGAAGGAGAAGCAGCCAGAGCCAGCAGGACCAGCUGUCAAAACCUGUUAGCAAACUACAGUGAGAAGGAAGCAAGGUCCUGGCCACAAAGAACAACUUGAAUCUGACCAGUGGCACCCAAUAGGGUCCAGAAACAGAGCCACACGUAGCCAGUGAGCUGAUUGUAAAGACACUGAUACGGCAGGGUAGUUGGGAGAGGACGGGCCUUCCCAUGCCGGGUGCUGAGCUAGACUGGAUAUCCAAGUAGGGGAAGAGUGGACCUUGACCUCGGCCUCACAUUGGACACAAAAAUCAAUCCCAGAUGGAGUGCAGAUCUACAUGGGAAAGGUGAGCUAAUAAAGCUUUAGAAUAAACCAGAAUAUCUUUAUGACCUUGGAGUAGUCAAAGUUUCUUAAAUAGGACACAAACAGCCCUAUCCAGAGAGGAAAUGUUUGAUUAACUGGACCACAUGAAAAUUAAGACCUUCUGUUCAUCAAAAGACACCAUCAAGAGAGGAAGAAGGCAGCCUGCAGAGGGGGAGGCGAUAUUUGCAAUGUGUGUGUCUGUGAGAGAGUGUGAGUGUGUGUAUCUCUCUCUCUGACAAAUGACUCCAGAAUAUCUAAAGAUAUAUAGGACCAUAAAUAAACAUAAAACAGGCAGAAGAUGUAGGCAAUUUAUACAGAAUGAUGUAUCUGACUAAAUGAUAACAUGGAAAGGGACUCAACUUCAUUAGUCAACAGGUUACUGCAAAUUAAAAUCACCAUUUGAUGCUGCUAGACAUUCACCAUCAUGGCUGAAAAGGAAACGACGGAAAAUGCCAAGUGUUAGGAUGUGGAGCAGCCAGAAUGCUGCCUGUGGGAAUGAAAAUUGGAAUGACUCCUUUGGUAGACUGCUGGGUAGUAUUCACUAAGAGUAAACAUAUGCCCACCCAGGACCCUGCAGCUCCACACAUAGGCAUAUAUUCCCCAGAAACGCAACCUGAUGCUCACCAAAAGCAUGUACAGAAUAUUCUUAAACAGCAACCUACACCAGAAACUGCCUGCUGGCCACAGGUGGUAGAAUGGAUGAAUGAUGUAGGCCAUGCACACAAUGGAGCACCAGUCAGCAAGGAGCAUGAGGGAGCACUCUCCCUUCAGCCCCAUAGAGAGGCUGCCAGACAUCAAAUUGAGUGAGGGACAUUGGACACAAAGGUGUAUGAGUUGCAUCAUUCCCACCGCAUAAAGUUCAAAUGUGGGCAAAGCUGGUCCUUGCUGCUAGCAGUUAGGCCUGUGGUUAAUCUCAAGGUCAGUGACAGGAAAUGGGAGCCUGAGAGGCUUUCUGGGGGUUCUGUUGCUUCCUCCGGGUGCUGCACACAUGGGUCCCAGGGACUGAAGAUGCCUCAAGCUGCGCACUUGAGACCUGUGUACUAAUCUGUGUGCAUGCACAUUACCCUUUAACUAAAAGUUUAACACCACCACCCUAUACCAGGGUAGCCCAGGUGAGCCUAAUUAGGUGGAUAGCCCUGGCCUUCAGGGCCGCUAGGCCCAGCCCCAUCCCACUCCCUCACUUAAGGGGACACGGCUUCCAGACUUCCUGACUAGGUCACCUCCGUGCUUCAGCCUCCAGAGGCUCUGCAGUUCAAUCUCCCCUUUCAGGUAUCAGCAGAGCACACAAGAGAUCUAUAUGGGAUGUGCCCCCCGCCCAACCCCGCCCCGACCCCCUGCCCCAACUGCCAGAAGUGUCUCCAUGACAAUAUCAGUGCAGUUGUGAAGUCCUUUGCCCUCCAGCCACCUCUGUGGCGUGAAUGUUCUCUCUGUCACAUCCUCCAACACCAUCUGCUUGGCUGAGGACCUGAGCAGCAUCAUGGCUGGGAGUUCACAAGUGGAGAGGGCUGAGCCUGGCCAGAGUGCACUGGGGCAGGGUGAUUUGGAUGGCCUUUCCCUUGCAGAGGAAAUGAGAAGCCUCACUGCUUUCUUCUGGGCCAUCCACCUAGACAGUGCGGCCCUCUCCCCAUAGCAGCAGCCCUAGGCCAGCCGCUUCUUCCUCACGUGCUCAGACGGAGGAAGUGAAGUUUGGAAAGGUUAGGGGGCCACGGGGGGCCGCCACAGCUGGGCUGAUGGCAGGCUGGAAGCCAGAUUGAGGGCAUCUGAUUCCCAAUCCCAUCUCUUUCCCACUGAGCCAUUACGCCUCGGUUUUAAUUUAAUUAGAAGAACAUUUAAUCCCCCCGUGCAUUUCAGAGACGGGUUUGAGCCUGGCUGGGGCUAUGUGGGGCUCUGACGGGGAUCCUAUGACUCAUGCAGCCCUGUACAGCCCUCCCGGGCGGGCCCCCAGAGGGCUUCCUUGGCAUCUCGUGCAGACAGAGGUGGUCUGGAGCUUUGCAGAAGACAGGACACUGGUCUAGAAAGACAAAAUGGUCUCAUCUGUUCUUGACAAGCCCCUCACUCAUCCUUCUGGACACUGGUUCCCAGAAUGUCCUUUCUGUCCUUUCCCACCAAAGUUUACAGGGAGAGAAAUAUGGUGAGGAGCUUAGACACUCACAGAGCUGCAGUGCCUGGUACCCUGGGGUCUGUGGGAGUAGGUCACAGUGGACCUGGAUGUCUCCAAAAUGUCCCAGGCCAAGCUGGUCCCAUCAAAAGAGCUAGCCCCUUGGUCCAUGAAGCCAAAUUUGGGGCCACCCUUGUGACGUUUGCCCUUAUUUCCAGACAGCACAGACUGGCCCUGUCCUUGCUGACAAAUGCAGAAUUCAGGAGACAUUAGUAGUGAUGUGGAUGAAAGCCAGGCCACAGCGGCCUUGCUGGAAAAGAGCAACUCGAAUGUCUUGGCGUGAGAUUCUGCAGGGUCCAGGAGAAAGUUGAAGACAUGGAAAUUCUAAUUAACGCACACGGGGCUGUUUUUGCUCAAGGAUUUGCGAAGCUGUCAUGUCACAAGAGGCCAGGCAAGCACAUGCUUGCCAGGGAGGUGCUCACAGUCACCUGGUGGGGGUCUCUGCAGCUUUCCCUCUGCCUUCUUUCCACCCCCUCUGCCCAGCCUCGGGGGUCCUGGUCCUCCCCCAUGCCCAUCUCAAUGGGCCGGGUGCUCCCUGAGUGUCCCUCUGGAGAGUGGGACUGAGGGCGGUAUCUGUUAACCUCGAGCUGGGGCUUGCCCAUCUAAGAUGCCAAAACAGAAGAGACAGGGGCCCUUCAGAGAAACCACAUGACUGGGCUGGGCAGAGCCAUAGGCUGCAGGGCUUAUGGGCCUGUCCUCUUGGGCCGUCUAUCUCAGGUAUCCAUGUGCAACCAAUGGGGCAGACGUGUGAAUUCCAGGCCAGUCCUGGCUGGCUUGGCAGUUGGGGAUGCAGUGUGAGGGAGGAUUUCACAAAAAUGAUUUCAGCCUCCCAGGGUUGCUUGGAGAAGCUCACCCAGGCCACACCUGCACACAGCCCCCAAGUUCAGAGCCGCAGAUCCUCAGGCCCCUAGCCCUGUGCCUCAGCACUGGCACAAUGUGUCUGCAGUCCUUGCUUCAUCUUAGGCAGGGUUGAGUGAGCAGCAAUCCUAGGGCUUCUCCAUGCCUGGGGCUUUGGGGGUUCUGGGGAGGAAGAGACCAAGAGGGCUAUACAUGCCCUUCUCCCUCCUGGCACCAUUCGAAAGGCUUAGGGAACUGGUACUGAGGGCUUUGAGAGCCAAAGGAGGACACAGCCGUACAGCCUAAGUGUGUCCUGGGGGGUUUACUGAGCAGACGUUGGAAAGAUGAAUGGAAAUCUGGUGGCUGCAGAUGGGUGACAAGGGCAUUCUAGAUGGCAGGUUACCACACGCAAGGCACAGGGAUGCACACAGGCAUGGCACCGUCCCCACCCACUGUCGUGCCAGUGACCCUUGGUGAGCAGAGGAUAGUGAGUGGGUCAGAAUCCCAGGAACUCAUCCUGGCUCUUGGGGUACAGGGCUCCUCUUGUCAUGGGGGUGCUCCCCAACUGCCCAUGCAGGCCUACAGUCUCUACUUCCCACCUUUCUCUCAGAAGCCCUGUCAUAUGGUUCUGGGUGGGAGACACAGGCUCAGGGAGUUUGAGGCUGGCAGGGACUCUCUUGUGCCCCAUUCAACCUAGGAAGACAGCUUCUGCCUGAAAGGUGUGUUCGAGGCUGAGUCCUGGCCGCCCAGAGCUGGUUGAGGGUCCUGAGGCUGAGCAGUAGGGCCCACCUAUAGGCUGGGGUGCAGCGACGCCACUCUUUAUCUCCUGGGUACCCCGUGCCUCAGCUUGUCAUGACUCCCUAGCUUGCAUCAGGCCUGCUCACCCCCCACCCCACCUCUGGCUAACAGGCCCCGGAAAGAGGAGCUUCGCCCAGCCCCAGGGACCUUCCCGUAAUCAAGGCUAUAGUGACCUCACCUCUCUGGGGCCCUGCGGGCGGGGAGAGCUCGAGAUGGAAACAAAAUGUGUCUUUAUUUAUGUUUUUAAUUUGAAUUCUGGAACUGGCCCAGCAUGGUAAUACAUUUAACAUCAGUAGAAUGCUGAAGAAAAAUGGAAAUGUUUUUUGGUAACUGCCUCCCACCCACUCUGCCCCCUGUGAGACCCCAGCACACAUCCCUGUCCCUCACACACACCAGGGCGUGUGCCUCUCUUCCCAGUUCAGGGUCCAUGGGGCCAGGCUGCCCACAGGAGCUUCGCUGCAUCCCUGAGCAGCUGGAGCCGAAUUUAAUUAUGGGCAUCACUGGGCGGGCUGUGCAGGAGGUGGAGGAAUGCAGCCCCAAUGCGGGCAGAAGACCUGCACGGCCCCCACACCCCUGCCGCCAGGCGGUUUGGGCCCUGAGGAAACAGGGUGCCCACUGCUGCCAGCCUUCUCCCCCAGAUGGAGUGGGGCCUCUACCCAGCCUGUAUCCCAGAGGAGCCUGGGUUCCUAGGCCCUGACACUGUACGUGCCCACUCUCCCCUUCAGGCCUCUCUGGAGGGACCGUACCCUGACUUCUGAGGAUGCAGGAACCCAGCUCCCCUGAAGCCUCAGCCCUGAGUCUUCCCUGACCAGAACACAAUGCCUCAAGGUGGCCCCUUUGCAGCAACCUCCUUGUUUUUCCCUCUCCCAGUCCCCUCUUCAGAUCCCUCACCCCAAGCCCCAUGCCUGGGCUCCUUCCUGCCUUCCCAGGCUGGCUCAUAUCUAGCAGCCACUUUUGGAACAGCCUGCUCUGAGAGAGGCCUUGGUAAGUUACAGGGCAGGGACCUGGUUGGGUAAUGACUGGAGUCUCUGACCUGCCUGGGCCCACUUAUCACUGGAGGCCAUGGGAGUGCCAACCUGAAAAGGCUGCAGGAUCUUGCAGAAUGGUAAUGUGCCAGACCCAAAGUGGGCAGAGAGCUUGGGGAUGGAUGUUCAGGUCUCUCAGGCCCUGUCAUCCUGGAGUGGAACAAGAAACAGCCCAGUGUCCUAGAUGACACAGCCACACUGGCUUGGGGUCACCCUUGGGCAGGUGGGUAACCUCUGGCUCCAGGGAGCUUGGCAUGUGCUGAUACCAGCACUGGCAGCCCUCACCCCCAUAGUGGUGAUUUACUGGGCAGCUGCAAGUUUGGCUGUGAUCCACAUAAGUGCCUGGUCUCUCACCACCUUCACCUGCAGGGGCCUUGCAAGACCCAAGAGUUGGUAAGGCCUGGCUGCCCAGCUAGAUGGACUGUGGGUGAUGGCCCUCUCCUCCCAGUAGGACUUUUUGCAUGUCUGGAUGCUGGUCCGUGACCAAGAGAACCAAGGUGAGCGAGAGCUCCAACAGGAGAAGCAAGCAGCCAGAAGGAUGAGAAGGGACAGUCCCCUCUCUGAGGGGACAGCCAAGAGGCAAUACAGGCACUGCCACCUGUAUUGCACACAACAUGAGCCACUAAACUAACACUGAUCACUUUGGAGGUCCAUCAUAUCCAGGACUUGGUACAGGCCUUGGCCACAGUGUAAGCCAUCAUUCUGCCUUCUGGUGCUGACCUGUACCUGGGCAGCCCAUCUGGCUACCAGCCUGCUCACACCUCUGCUCCUGCCUUUUUACCCAGCCAGGAGGGGCCCAGAAGCUCAGAGCCCUAUUCUCAGGGUGUCCAUGACUAGUCACCCCUGCUUUCCAGUGAUCUGCUGGCUCCCUUGGAGCCUCUUCACACCCUACCCACCAUGAGGUACUGCCAACCUCUCUGUGAACUGGGGGGGCCUGGAAAGACAGUGGGCAGGUCCUGUCUGAUCAUAAUUACCCCUUAAGAUAGCCACUCCUUCCCUGGAGGUGGCCUCAUUCUGGCUACCCAACCCUGCCAGUUCUCUGGUUACACCUGCAGCCCCCAGCACCAUGGGUCCCGAUUUCCUCAGUGAUUUGCAAGGCCAGGCCUUGCACCUGGCUGGCUGCAAAGGCAGGAGGCCCAGGGCCUCACUACGACAAAGACACACAUGGCUCAGGACAACCUCCUGACCCCCAGAGAGUCCAAAGAACAAAACACCCUUUAGAAAAAUGUUGGUAGAGAGAAGGAGAGUUUCCACAAGUGACCCUCAGAAGGGCCGCGAGUGUCACUCACAGAUCUUGACACAAAGACAUUUAUCAAGGGGAAUCCCCAACGGGUUAGCAGCCAGAAUGGGACUGUGGCCAGAAUGGACUUGGGUGCCCCACUGACCCCGCUGCACGGCUGUCACCGCUGGGCACCCCAGCGGGGAGUCACAUGUCGCAGGGGAAUCACACCGUGGCCGGGCACCGGGGAUUGGCCUGGCCAUGCCGUGACGGCGGGGGAGGACGGGCAUGCAUCCCAGGCCAGCUGUGCCUCAGGGGAAGGCCAACUGGAAGGCGUGGAAAAUCAGCCAUUUCCUCCACCUGAAGGAGCCCCUGAGGACAGCAGCAGCAACUGGCAGACUGCACCCGGCAUCUGCCCCAUGGCUUUGGCCAGGGUUCCAUGGGGAAAUGCUAAAAAACAAAGUCGUCUCUUUUUUGGGGGGCAGGGGAGGGGGCUGGGGGAGAGAAAAACAAUCUCAGACUCUCAAAGCAUGAAAACAAGUGGAAAAUGAUCAGUCUGGUUUUCCAUAAGUCAAAACAAGAGGAUCAUGUUCCCAGGCUCAGUGGGAAGUGCCCUUGCUCUCCUCUCUUGCCUGGUGCCUCCGUGUUGGGGCCAGGCAGACGGCAAGUGGUGGGCACUAGGCGAGUAGAUAGCACUCUGGCCAGAGAGCAAGGCUUCCCCAGCACCAAGUCUGACUCCUUGAGCUCCAGUCCCCUCCAGCCCAGCCCUUCACGCACAUGUAGGCACUCACUGUGAGAUGUGGGUGAUGGGUGUCAGCAGAGUCUCCCCUUCCAGGUCCAGGUCCUCGGCGAAGCUGUUGGUUCUCAUGAAAUGGGGCAUGCUCACUUCCAGCAGUGUUGGGCUCUUCCUUACUGAGGAGAAAGUGUGGGGACAGCACGUUAGGCCUCCCACCCAACCUGCCAGUGCUGUGGAGCCAGGCCUGUGAGCUCCCAGGGCCAGGUGAGGAGUGGAGCUUGUGCCUGGAAGCUCCAGCCCUGACAAUCAGUUUUAUAGUUGGGUGUUGGGGUGGGUGGGUGUUUAAGAUGGCCCCAAAGUGCCUGACACCUCAGUGUCUGAGGAGAAUAAAGGCCAGUGAAUCAUCUUCGGAGUGGUAACUGUGCCUGGGGCUGUGCUCAGGUGUCCAAGACUCUCCCCACCUCAGGUUCUGGGCCUCUUCCCAUGUUCACAACUGACACUUGGGUCAAGAAUAAAACAGAGGUGACAGGCACAGGCCUGGUAAGGGACAACAGCUCCCACCACCAUACAUUGUCACACUCAUACAUUGACAGAGUAGUGGGUCAGGAAAGAUGGGGUGAUAGGACCUCUGACCCAUGAGGAAUGGCAAGCCUGGGAGGUGGGGGCAGCCACAGAACUCCUUCCUCAAAACACGAUGCUACAUCAACCAGUUGUACCCCCAAUGAGGCACAGGAGUCCCUCCAACAGCUGGCUUCACAUUAUGAUUCCUGGGCCCACCUCUGCAACUUUGACACAGGAGCUCAGGAUACUGAUCCUUAUCACUCCCCACUCUCUGUUGACACUAUCAGUAUUUGCUCUUGGCUUAUAUUUGUCUUCAUUUAAAUAUUUUAUUGCAAAAGGAUUAAGUACUCAUCUGUGAGAAGUGGAAUAAUUCAAAGAUUCACAAUGGCUUUCCUCCCCCAAGGUCAUCAGUGUUAACUGCCAACUAGAUCCCUAGCCCACCCUCUCUGCUCAUCCGAGCAGCAGAUGCCAGGUGGGAGUUGCUUUUAUGCACAUGGGAUGUCACUGUGACUCUGUUCCUGUCACUCUGUAACAUAAGCUCAUUUCAUUUUUCUCUAGGUAUAUAGGCAUGGAUUUAAUUAUUUUAGUCAUUACAUAAUAGUCCACAGUUUAGAUUGGCCACAGCUAACCAUUCUGUAUAUCAUGGACAUUCAGGCUCUUAUAGUUUUAAGCUGCUUAAUUAUUCAGACUAUGAUGCCAUAUUCAUCUUUAUUCUUAAAAGCUGACAUACUGGAGCAGGGUGAGAGGGUGUGUCCUUAGUAAUUUUAAUAAAUGUUGCUAGAUUGCUUUCCCAAGAAGUUGUAGCAAUUCAGGCUCCCCCAGCUUUCCCACAUCCAUGCCUGAAUGAAGUGUUGAAUGAAGCCCGAAUGAAGGUUGUCAGCACCUUUUGCAGGGACUAUCAAGCAUGGAUGAAAACUGAGGCAUUGCUGUUAUUUCCAUCUGUGUUGAAUACCUUUUAUGGGCUUGGCAUCUGUUUGGGUUUCCUCUUGCAGAAUUGCCUGUUCAUGUCCUUUGCUCACUUUUGCUUAUCACUUUGUAGGAAUUUUCUAUACAUUACAGACAUUAACUCCUUGUUAUAUGAGGCAUAGAUAGCUUCCCCAGUCUGUUUUUUCACCUGAAUUAUGUUGCUUUUAUCCUAGAAAAUGUUUUAUGUUUUUAAAGUGAUACAUCUUUUGCUUUAUAAAAAAGGAAGGUUUUCCCACAUCAGCGUAAUACAAUUCUCUCUUAAAUUUAUUCCUAAUUUCACUAUUUGAAUGUGUUGUAUGUAUACAUAUGUAUGUGUGUAAAAGUUUUAAUGCAUUUAGUAUCUAUGCCUGAUAGGACAGAUGAUCAACAAUUAGAAAAUGAAAAUUUAAAGGGUACUACAUACAAACUUACUGAAAAAAAAUCUAAAAUAAAACAUAAAACCAUAAAAUAUCUUGAAGAAAACAUAAGAGAAAAUCUCCAGGACCUUGGAUUUGGCAGUGAAUUCUGAAAUACGAAACCAAAAGUUUAACUCGUAAGAGAAAAAGAAUCAACAAAUUGGACUUUAUCAAAAUUAAAAGCUUUUGCUGUGCAACAGACACUGCUAAUGGAAUGAAAAGACAAAGCACAGACUUGGAAAGAAUAUUUGCAUAUCACCUAUCAGGUCAAGGACUUGCACUCAGAAUAUAUAAAGAAUGCUUACAACUUGACAAUAAAGUGAACAAUCCAAUUUUAAAAAUGGAUUAUAAAUAAGCACAUGAAAAGAUACAUAAUUAACAUAAAUAUGGAAAUGCAAAUUAGAAUCACAAUGAAAUUCCAUAAAUUAAAAAAAAAAUUCAAAACCUGACAAUACCAACCACUCUUGAGGAUGUGGAACAUGUAGAACUCUCAUAUGUUACUGGUGGGAAUGCAAAAUGGCACAGUGACUUUAGGAAAUAGUUUAGCAAUUUCUUAUUAAGUUAAACAUACACAUACCACAUGACCUAUCGGUUCCUUUCCCACCCAAGUGAAUUGAAUUUUUAUGUUCGCAAAAACCUGUACAUAAAUGUGUAUAGUAACUCUGCUCAUAAUUACCAAAUACUGGAAACAAUGAAGAUGUCCUUCAACAGGUGAAUGCAUAAACAAAAUGUAUAUAUUCAUGCAAUGGAAUACCACCCAGCAAUAAAAAGAAAUUAACUAAUGAUUUAUGCAACAACAUGGAUGAAUCUCAAAUGCAUUUUGCUAAGCAGUGAAAGAAGCCAGAUGCAAAAGAAUACAUAUUAUAGGAUCCCAUUUAUAGGACAUUCUAGAAAAACAAAACUACAGGGACAUAAAACAGAUCAAUAGCUGCCAGUGGUUAGGGGAGAAGUACUUGACUUCAAAAGACUCACCCCAGGGUAUUUUUAGGGGUAUGGAACUUCUGUGAAUGAUACUGGAUUGUGGACACAUGACUCCAGACAUCUGUCAAAACCCACAGAACUGAAUCUCAAAGAGUGGAUUUUACUGUAUGCAAAUUUAAAAAAUUAACCCGGAUGUUGGAGGACCCUACGAUGAAAAGCAGACUAUGAUGAGCGUGUUACAAACAAAUGACAUAGCAGUGAAAGGAAAGGAGGAGGAGGAGCUGGCAUAUGUUGCUUUCAAAAACACUGUUUUGACUGGACACUCUAUGGUUAAAGCAAAAGUCUGUCCUAAACACUCUAAUCUAGUAGGUAAAUUUGCUUCACAUAGGGUACUACGUGUACAAUAGGGUUACACAAAUAAGUAAAUGAACUGUAGGUAAUGGGAGCCAGGUUUCUAGCUGUCAGAGAAAAAGCUAUAAAUAAGUUGUGGGGGAGGGGGCAAGGAUGAACUCUGGUCAGAAAUGUCAGUAUGAACUCAUGGUUAGCUUUAUAUAGAUACAGAUAUGUAAAGAUGUAUGUGUACUCAGGUUACAUACAUACAUAUAUUUCCUAGCUCUGUCCACUGAGAGGAGACUGAAGCAAUGAUACCCUAGUAGCCACGAGCAUACCCCGUGCCUAGAUCCAGGUUUUCUAUUCAUUCUCCAGGGAGCCAGGGCUCUCUGGAUGAAUGGAUGAUUCUAGGGCUAGGGUAGGGAAAAUAAAAGAUGAGCCUGAAGUAUUGUCAAGUGCUAGAAAAGAAAUGCUUAAAAAUAAAUGAAAAGGAUGGCGGGGGGCACAUCAAAAGGACACAUGAACCCACCAGUGGCCACAGCUUGAACAAUUUGAGCAACAAAAUAAAUAAUAUUGGACUAUAACUCAAAAAAUAAAUACUCCCAAAUCCACACUGAUAAAAUUAAAUAAACAAUUGGAGGAGAGGGACAAAUCUUCCUUAUAAAGGAAUUCCAAAUAAAAAAUGUAGAAGGAAUGAGGAAAAUAGAAGUACAUCACGGUAAUAUUUGCUGCAGGAAAACGAUCCAUGAAUGAAUGCUGAAAUUAGUUAGUGAAACUCAGAAACUUCACAGUUUCUUCCUUGAAAUGUAUUUUAAUUGCUGUGGUAGUUUUAACAUAUUUGCAGAUUUUUUUUGAUACUCUCCUGCAGGAGGUAGAGUUGAACCCCUCCCUUCCCCACCUUGAGUGUGGGCUAUACUUAGUGACUCGCUUCUAAAGACUAAGCUAUGGAAAGGGAAAAACAGCUAUUCACUUACAGUGGAGGAGCCUGGCCGACACCACUUUAAACGAGUGGCUCAAGGUUAAUAUUACCAGUGAUAAACCAUGUUGAUGUCAUGUUCCACAAUGAGGAAAGCAUCUCACCUCACUGGCCUCCUUCCCCUAAACCUAUAACCCUGGUCUAGUCCUGAGAAAACACCAGACAAAUCCAAACUGAGGGACAAUGACACCUGACUGGUAUUCUUCAAAAGUGUCAAGUUAAUGAAGAACAAGACUGAGAAGCCCGUCACCGAUCAGAGAUGACAAUAAAUGUAAUGAUCGAUCCUAGAUGGGAUCUUGGAACAGAAAAAGGACAUUAGUAGUUAAACUGGGGAAAUCCAAAUAAAUUUAUAACUCUAGCUUAAUAGUGUACCAAUGUUAAUUUUUUAGUUUUGGUCAAUGUACCAUGGUUAUAUAAGAUGCUAACAUUAGGGGAAGCUGGUGAAAGGGAUGUGGGUACUCGGUACUAUUUUUGUUUCUCUUCUGUAAAUAAAAAAUGUGAGGUAACAAGAGAAAACAGAACCUGUAUACAAUAGCACAAAAGAAUAUUAAUUAUCUAACUAAGUAUAUGCAAGAACUCUGGAGAAAAUUGUAAAACUUUAGUAAGAGACAAUGAAGAAGAUAUAAAUGGAGAAAUAUGCCUUCAUUCCAAUGACUAGAAGACUCAAUACUGAAAAGAUUAUCUCAAAAUCUGAAUAAAUCUCUCCAAAUCUUAAUAAAAAUCUCAAGGCUUCUGUGUGAGAACUUUGGCAAGCUGAUUCUAACUGCGACUUGGAAGUGCAAAAAGCCAAGAAUUGGCAAUAUUCUUGAAGAAGAACAAGGUGGGAGAACUUGCUGUACCAAACAUCAGUACUUCUUCCAAGGCAGUGGUCAUUAGGGCAAUGUGGUAUUGACACAGGGAGAGACAAAUAGGCCAAUGGGACAGGAUUGAGCAUUGGGAAACAGCCCACACAAAUAUGGAAGCUUGCUGUGUAUCAGAGGUGGCCUGCACAUCCUGGGAAGAGCAUGGACUUUUCAAUCAAAUGUUCAGGAGCAGUUGGAUACCCACACUGGAAAAACAUUAAGUUGGACCCUUAAUUACCUCACAUCAUAUACCAAAAAUUCAUUCUUGUCAUUCUAGGGGAUUGAAGACCUAACUAUGAAAAGCAUAACUAUAAAGGUCACAUGACUGAAUAUAGAAGAAUAUCUUAAUGACAUCAGCAUUAGGAUGGUUUUUUUUAAAAGAAGCAAUAACCAUGAGAGAGAAGACUGAGUAAUUUGACAUUAGAGUUAAGACCCAAUCAUCAAAAUACACCUUAAAGAGUGAAAAGACAGUGCCCACAAAAUGCAAAGGACUCCUACAAAUCAAUAGGAAAAAUAUAAAUGACUUAAUAGAAAAUGGGCAAUAGACAAAGUAGCACAUCACAAAAGAGGAAUCCAAAAGGCUGAUGAGCAUGUGGAAAGGUGUUGCGCCUGACUAGCAAUCAGGGAAAUGUAAAUAAACUCAGGAGCUCAUGGCCCGUGGGGGCGAGUGGCAGACUUCCAGCAGGAAACCACACAGACAUUACUUAGUCACAGCCAGGAGAAGGGCUCAGAGUGAAAGGGCUCUGUGCCCAUGACAUCCUUAGAGAGACCAGGGAAGGACCUGUAAGGCUUGAAGAAUGUGCAGAUUUGGAGACCCACAGGUCUGGGACCUGGCAGAAGCAUGUUACUGCCCCCAUUUUAGAGAUUUGGGGCUGAGAUUCAAGUACCCUAGGUUAUAUAAUGCAGUUGUCAAGUGACAGAGCUAAAACUUCAUCCAGGAUUCAAUUUUUUUUAAAGGAAGGAAGAAAGAAAAAACAUAUUUUGAUGUUUGCAUCACUUGUAUGUAGAAGGAACGAUGGAGCACAGGCUAGAACGUAGAGUUGCUUUCCAAACACCCAUGAUGACAAGUGCCCAUCUCCAAAGCCUGAGGGCCAAGGGUGAGCCACCUGACCCCUGAGGAAGGUUCUGUCCUGGUGUUUUAGGAAAUUAAAAUGUGCACAUCAGUUGGCUGCCCAGAGUGGGUGGGACCUGCACCUGCCAGAGAGGAAUGUGUGCUUUUUGGUUUAAUCCUGGGAACGGCAUAUGGGGCCCCUAUAACAAGGGGCAGAGAAGGCCUCCACAGAUUUGUUUUUCCAAUUCAAGAGGAGAGGUUAUUGUCUGCUGGCUUGUGUGUUGGAGACUGUGGGGCGUGCUUUCUCCACCACAGGGAGGCAGUGACCAGAGCUGCCACCUCUUCCCUGUUUUCACCUGUGGUCGUAGCCAGGUCAGGCAUCUAGGAGAGCAUGGAGGGGAGCUGGGGGUGGGUGGGUGGGGAUUCAGCUCUUUCCAGACACACUGGUGCUGCCUCUUUCAGGCCAGGGCUUGAGGGCAAGUGCUGUGCCCUAACAGGUCUUGCUUGUCACCCCCACCUCUGAAGUGGGUAUUUCACAGCCUGAACUCACAGCUGCAGAGAAGGUUGAGCCCAUGGUGUACUUGAAAGGGCAGUUCAUCUGGAUAUCCAGGCUCUGCAGGAGGUACCGGAGCAAUGCCAGGUGCCCUUUGCUGAACUGCCUAGAGUGGCUGGCCCUGGGGACAAAGAGCACAGCAUCCUGGUGACAAUGAAGUCACACUUUCCUAAGACAGUCCUGGUUUUUGAUGCUUUAAUUCUUUGGCUGCCUUUGCUUUGUCAAGGCCAGGAUCUGGGCCUAAAUUUUCAGGGCAGAACAAAACAAUUUUGUUUUCUAGGAAAGUGGGAGGUCUGGGAUGGCAAAGGCAGCCUCGGGCGUGGCGACUACCCCAGCUGGGGACGCUGGCUGCCAAGUCUCACCCUCUCAAGAGAACAGGAAUCAAACUCAGCACAGCAUCCUCCUUUCUAGUCAGUGGUCCUGCUCGAUAGGGGGAUUUGAAUUUUAUUUUUUUAAAAAUACAGGCACAGAAAAAAGACUAGAAGGAAACAGAUCCAAAUGUUAACUUUGUCUUUGGGUGAUUUUCAUUUCCUUCCUUAUUGUGUCUGUGUUUUCUAUUUUGCAUGAUACUUUUCCAAGUCAAGAAACAAUAAUUUGUGGAAGUCUCCUGUAUCUGUGCCUUGCUCUCUGGCCCACGACCUUGCACAUCUUAUCCUAGAGUUGCCAGAAUAUGUCCCUCCACCUGGCCUGGAGCUGCCCAUGAGGCUACAUAGAGCUCUCCUAUCAUGAAAGUCUUUGAGGCUUUCUGUUCCCAAGAAAUUCUGGUCUCACUUCCUCUGCCUUCUCAUCGAGCCCCAGACCCCUCCCUGCCCAGAUUAGGUCAGCAUUCAAGCCCCAAGUCCAGCCUAUGACAAAGCUCAAAGCUCCAGCCCAUCUCUGCUGCCCUCUGCCCUCAAGAGACUCUCGCCAGUGUCUGGGCCCUUCCUAGUAACUUCACCCAACCACUCACCCCCUGCCCUUCCCCUCCUGAUUGAUUAAAAUCCGGCCUAAUCUCCCAGGUGUAACCCAAGCCCUCUUCCACAAGCUUUCCAGGGCUCCGGAGAUUGCCCCCUCCCCUGUACGGCUGCAGGGCUUAUGUGUGCCUGGCGCUCAGCACGGGAACCUUGCCUUCUGCCUCACCCAUGUCUCCCCAGGGUUUGGCACAGGCGAGUUCCCUGAGCCAGCCUACUUCACAAGGAUGAACAGAAGCUCUCCCUAUCCUUUGCAAGUAGAAGCCCCCUCCCUGGCCCCCUCAAGAAAUCUCCCCCUCUCAGUGGAUUCACCAAAGCCCUGCGGAUCCUGCACUGUGAAGGAGAAGCCCUCCCCAGGGGCAUCCGGACAGCUGCAGCCAGGCCCUGCGUGACAUUGCUGAGCCGCAGCCCCACAGCCUGUGCCAGCUGCCCAUGCCCGGCUCAUAGACCCUGAGCCAGAGUGGCCCCGCCACCACCUGUGUCUCCACUCAGAGGCGAGAAGUAAGGGACAUGGAUGGAAAGUGUAAAAGCCAUUCCCACAACAGCUGCCAGGAACAAGGCGAGGAAUGGAGUGAAAAUGUAUAUUCACAGCUGGCACCCAGUUCCGCUUAGGAAAAUACCUUGCUUGAGUGGACACCUGUUGUUUUUGCCUGCCAGCAGCCAGGCCUGGCUUCUGGGAACAGCUUCUCAAAUCUUCCUUAGGGGGCUCUUCCUUUCCCACUCCUAGUGUGCAGUGUUUAGGUACCCUCUGGCCAUCCCCAAAGGGGUCCCUGUGGACCUUGCCUCAGCCAUCGGAGGUACAGCUGCAGGUCCAAGGAUGGCUUGUACCCCAGCUGAGGCCAAUAAGAACCUGGCCUUAGAUUCUGGCAGGAAUCCUGGAAGAGAUGACCUCGUUCUGCUGGGCUUCCUGAGCUGUUGAAUGCAAGCUGGUGGCCAUUUUGCCCCUUUUAGAAAGUAGCUGCCUAAGGAUACAGCCAUCCCAUGGGGCCAAUGGAUAGAGAGCAAGGGAAAGGGAGAACAAAAGAGGGAACGGGAAGGGAGAAGGGGAGUGCAAGAGGGGAGAGUGAGAGCAAGUGAGCAAGAUCAUCUCAGCUCUGGGGUCCAGCUGUGUCUGAAACAGCUGGGUCCAGCUGUGUGAGCCAAAAAAUGUCCCUUUUGUGCUUAAGCUUGUUUGAGUUGGGGUUCCAUCAUUUGUUACCAAGAGAGUCUUCAGGAAUGUGCAUGACAAAGUUGGGGGUGAGGUGUGAGCCUACGGACAUGGGCCUGGGGGCAGUCAAGGUUACAAAAUAGCUAAACUGGUCUGCACUGCCCCCACUAGUUUUCAGGGCAGAGGGCAGGGAGAAGGCUUGUGGGAAAGAAGCUGGCCUGAGGCCAAGGCCCUGGCCCUAGCCCUGCAACAGCACAGGGAACUCUUGGAAAGGGAUUUCCUAAGGUGGGACAUUGGCUUUCUACUGCUGUGAUGCAAGUCCUCAUCUCCCCAAACCUUCAGUGAGCCUCUCUCCACACCCUGCUGUAUGAGGAUGUUUGAUGCAAAUUAUGGAACAUGUUGGAUCUCACAUUGGAUCAAAGGUGUGCAGAAUAGAUUUGCCUCAAGCAUGACAGUGAUGUGACACAGUCAAAGAUGACUUCCGGAAUCCUGAGAAGUCCCAGGGAGGAUGCUGGGCUUUCCAAAACCUAAGUUUAGGAUACUGAGGACCACACCCCACACCCCAAACACUUCUCCUUAGAAUAAGUAUAGCAAGCCUCAGCAUACACAAAUCUCAGAGUGAACGGAAAUGUCUCUGCAGGCCCAAGGGUGGGGUCUGAGUAGCGGGGGCGCUGAGGAAGACAGGCAGUGACAGAGCCAGGACAGGGUCAACCCUGAGCGUGAGUGAGCCCAGGAAACGGAAAGAGAGCAACACAGCCACCCACACAACUAAAAUCGACCCACCCGGGUCUCCAUGCUGCAGGAAGUCACUGUCUAGGUCUCCCAAGACACAUUUUCAGGGGAAGGUUCCAGGCAGCAAGAGCAGCCCUAGGAAACUUUAAUAUACAAUGGAAUCUGGGUUAAGCACUAUCUUCUCCAAGAGUUGAGCUCACAGGACAUUCCCCAGAAACCUCUGGAGAGGUGGGGAGGAAAGUUUCUGGAGGUCUUUGGAUGGAGAAAACAAAAAAGUGGCCUUGAUUUUCAAGACAAAAUUACACAGGAAGAAAAAAAUGUUUUUAAUCUAAUUAAGAGCGAUCUUUUCACCUUCAUCACAACAUCGCGGAAAUGUGCCAGUUCUUAACUUCACACAAUAAUCAAAGCAAUUAGUGAGGGAGAAGCCUUGGAAACCGGUGCAGAUGUUCUCAGAAUGUUUAAUGGGGAAAUGAGUUGCAGGCCUCAUUCUCAGCAUCCGGCUCCAGGCCCUGGCUACCAAAUCCAGACAUCUGCUGGGGCCCCACCCCCAGGCCCCGAGGGCGCGGGCUUGAGAAACACAGGUCCCUUCCCAGGCCACCUCCCAGCCAGGCCAGAACUGGGGCCGAGAGGCUCCCCAUAGCUUCUCAAAUUGGAGCCUGGACACAGUCAGAGCCACCCCAGAACUGGGGGGAGGCUCAACAUCAAAAUUAUGUUAACAACUGAUGUCAAAAGUAAUCAACUCAGCUUGGCUCCCCCACUGCUGCUGGCUGCAGGAGGGCUGUGAGUAGGAGGAGAGCAAGCGGCCCCAGAGGGACCCUCGGCUAUGACCCCCUCAGCCUGAACACUACUUCAAGAAAAGAUGUGGUGGCAUCUGUCUGGUAUGGUCCUGUGGGCUCCAUUCCAAUGCUAAUGGACUCUUAAGGGGCCCAGGAAUCAAAAUGGUCAACACUUGAGGAAUUUCCAGUAAUCAGAGAAAACGUAUAGAAAUGAGGAUGAUGCUUACUUAGGAAAUGGCCUAUUACAGGAAACAGAGGGCCACGUGGCUAAUGUCAGUGAGCUGUGGGAGAGACAGAGACCCCAGGUGGGGCAGGCAGAUCAGCAAAUCUUGGAGGACCUGCUAUGUGGCAGGCACUGGAGACAUGGAGGUAAAGAACACAAUAUCCAUGUUCUCAGGGACACACUCAUAUGCCCUUAGCAUUCACGUUCUUCACACUGACAGCUUCUUAAUGCAAGCCCACCAGAUACUUUCAUAAGCACUACCUCUGACUUCAGGCACUUGCUGAGCUGCACACAGGGCAGGCCAAAAGGAAUGGAAAGUGAGCCACCACCGGGGCAGCACUCACUAGUGAAAGAUAAAUACCCCAGCUCUCUCAGCCGCUUGUAGAACUCUGAGGAGUGUUCUGUGCAGCUUCCCAGCUGCCCACCAUGAAGCUCUUUCUCAAUAAGUGACCAGCACAGCUUAAUUCCUGAAUUAAGCUGUGUGUGCUGUGAGACUGACACAAGACAGGGUGACAGGAAGCUGUCGGAACAUUUGAGUAGGGAAGCAGCAAGAUCCACUGUACAUUUAAAGAACUCCCUUGAGCUGUUAUGUGAAGAAUGGAGUACAGGAAGCAAGAGUGGAAAUCAAGAGACCAGUAAUGAGGUAUGGACAACAAUGUAGGCAGAGAAAUGGUGGUGGUUUUAACCAGGGAGAUAGCUGGAGAGACUAGGUGUGGGCAAAUCCAGAGAGUUGAUAAGACAUACUGAUAGAUUAGAAAGGGGUACUAAGAAAAAAGGAUAAUUUAAAAAAGACUUUCAGCCAGGCUUGGAGAAAAAUAGCAUGCUGCUCCUCAUCCCCUCUGACUAUAAAUCAUCUCACUCAUCCUCCCCUAAAAGCAUAAAAUCAGUAAGUGCAAAUAAAACCACAUGACCCAUGCUGUUAGCAGUAUUAGGAGAAAGAAUACCUUCAAAUUGCCUGUGGGUAGCAAAGUGAGCCAAAUUCCAAUAGCAUUCUAGUCCCCUGCCCAGCACUGCAAAACUGCAUACAGAAUCAGAGAAGAGGCUUAAAAUGCUUUGUCAAAAAGUUUGAAGGUAGUUAGCAACAUCAGCAAAAAUAGAGGAGUAAGUACCUCUAAGGAGCCUUCUUGCCUUCACAGACAUCCUAAGCACCAAGCAGCCUAAGCCACUGAUGAACUUGCAGAUACCACUGAUGUGGAUUAUAGUCUAAUUAAUUGUAGAGACACCACACUUCUGCACUGAACCAGAACCAAAGCCAAAGCACCCUACCCAAAUGAUACUACAGACGCGUGUACAGGAAAAGUCCUUACUAAGGCUACUCCAUAAAAUUGGAAGUCUCUGUUAUUCCAGAUAUGCAGAUAUCAACUUGGGGACACAAAAAACUUGGGGGGAAAAAAACAAGAAAACAUGACUUGCCAAAAGAACACAAUAAUUCUCCAAUAAUAGACUCCAAAGUAAAGGAAAUCUUAAGGAAACCCAAUGAGAUACAAGAGAACACAAAUAGACAAUACAAACAUAUCAGGAAAACAAUUCAUUAUCUAAAUGGGAAAUCCAGCAGAGUUAGAUAUGAAAAAGAACCAAACAAAAAUCCUGGAGGUGAUAAAUUAAAUGAAUGAAAUAAAAAAUACAAUUGAAAGCUUCAAAAGCCGGCUAAGUCAAGCAGAAGAAAUAAUUUCUAAAUUUGAAGACAGGUGUUUUGCAAUAAACCAGACAGAUUUAAAAAAUAACAAUAAAAAAGAAUGAAGAAUGCCUGCGUGACAUAUGAGACACUAUUAAGCUAACAAUAUUUCACAUUUUGGGAGUUCCAGAAGAAGUGUUGGGAUAAGGACCAGAAAAUCUAUUUAAGAAGAUAAUACCUGAAAACUGCCAAAGUUUGGGAGAGAAAGAGACUAACAGAUAAAGGAAGCUCACAAAUCCCUAAAUAGAUUCAACCCUAAAAGGGCCUCUCUGAGGCACAUUUUCAUCAAACUGUCAAAAAUCAAAGAGAGAAUUUAAAAAACAAGAGAGAAGCAUGAAGUCACAUAUAAGGGAAUCAACAGCAGAUUAACAGAUUUUUCAGCAGAAACCUUCUAGGCCAGGAAAGAAUUGAAUGCCAUAUUAAAAGUGCUGCAAGGUGGGGAAAAGCUCACAAAAUUGCUAGCCACAAAUACUAUACCCAGCAAAGCUAUCCUUCAGAAAUGAAGCAGAAUGAGGGAAGAAAUUUUGCCUCCCUCAGACAAGCAAAAACUGAGGGAAUUCAUUACUACUAAAUCAGCCCCACAAGAAAUGCUUAAGGGAGUACUACAUCUGGAAGUAGGAGGAUGAUAUCUACCAUCAUGAAACUACAAAAGCAUAAAACACUAGUAGAGCAGAUACACAAAUGAGAAAGGAAAAGGAAUAAAAGAUUAUCACUACAGAAAACCAAAAAAUUGCAAAGAAAAACAAUGAGAGGAAACAAAAGUAUACAAAUCAGUCAGAAAACAAUAAAAUGACAGGAGUAAGUCCUCACCUAUUGAUAACAAUCUUGAAUGUAGGUAAUUUAAAUUUCCCAAAUGAAAGAUAGAUACUGGCUAAAUGAAUUAAAAAAAUAAAACCCAAUUACAUGCUGCCUAUAAGAAACUGACUUCACCUGUAAAGACACCCAUAGACUGUAAGGGAAUGGAUAGAAAAAGAUAUUCCACACAAACAGACACCAAAAGCAUGCAGGAGUAGACAGACAAAAAAUACUGAGUCAAAAAAAAAAAAAAAAAAAAAAAGAAAAAGAAAAAAGAGACAAAGGAGGUCAUUAUAUAAUUAUAAAUGGAUCAAUUCAGCAAGAAGAUAUAACAAUUAUAUAUGCAACCAACAACACUGGAGUACCCAGGUAUAUUAAACAAAUAUUAUUAGUGCUAAAGAGAUAGACCCCAAUACAAUAAUAGUUAGGGAUGGCAACAUUUCAUACUCAGCAUUGGACAAUUCAUUUGGAUGGAAAAAUAUCAACAAGGAAAUAUUAGAUUUGAACUGCUGCUUCGUUAGCACACAGCACAUUCUCCAGGAUAUACCAUAUGUUAGGACACAAAACGGGUCUCAAUAAAUUUUUAAAAGUCAAAAUCUUAUCAAGUAUCUUCUCAGACCACAAUGGAAUAAAACUGGAAAUCAAUAACAAGAGGAACUUCUGAAAUUGAACAGAUACACGGAAAUCAAACUACAUGUUCCUGAAUGACCACUGUGUCUAUGAAGAAAUUGAUUUUAAAAAUUUAAAAAUUCUUUGAAACAAAUGAAAAUAGAAACACAGCAUACAAAAAUGUAUAGGGUACAACAAAAGAAGUGCUAUGAGGGACAUUUAUUUCAAUAAACACCCACAUCAAUAAGGUAGAAAGUUUUUAAACAAAUAACCUAAUAAACGCAUCUCAAGGAACUAGAAAAGCAAGAACAAAUCAAACCUAAAAUUAGAAGGAAAUAAAUAGUAAAGAUCAGAGCAGAUCUAAAUGAAAUAGAGAUAAAAGGUAAAAAAGACAAAAGAUCAAUGAAAUGAGGCCUCCCCCCCACCCCCCGAGACACGGUCUCACUCUGUCACCCAGGCUAGAGCGCAGUGGUGUGAUCUUGGCUCACUGUAACCUCUGCUUCCUGGGCUCAAGCAAUCCUCCUGCCUCAGCUUCUGAGUAGAUGUGCAGCACCACACCUCGCUAAUUUUUUUUUUUUUUUUUGGUAGAGAUGGGGGUUUGCCAUGUUGCUCAGGCUGGUCUCAAACUCCUGGACUCAAGCGAUCGGCCUGCCUUGGCCUUCCAAAGUACUGGGUUUACAGGUGUGAGCCAACAAACCCAGCCAAAAAACUGAUUUUUUGAAAAGAGAAAAUCAAUAAACCAUUAGCUAGACUAACCAAGAAGACCCAAUAAAUAAAAUCAGAAAUGAAAAAGGAGACUUACAAUGGACACCACAGAAAUACAAAAGAUUAUUAGAGACCAUUAUGAACAACUAUAUGUCAACAAUUAGAAAACCUAGAGGAAAGAGAUAAAUUCCUGGACAUAUAUAACCUCCCAAGAUUGAACCAGGAAGAAAAAAAAUCUGAACAGAGCAAUAACAAGGAAUGAGAUUGUAUCAGUAAUAAAGUCUCCCAGUAAAGAAAACCUCAGGAUUGCACGGGUUUUCUACUGAAUUCUACCAAACCUUUAAAGAACUAACAUGAAUUCUUCUCAGACAAUUCCAAAAGACUGAAGAGAAAGGAAUUCUCCCUAACUCAUUCUGUGAGGCAAGCAGUAUCUUGAUACCAAAACCAGAUAAGGACACAAUAACAGCAAAAAAGAAAACUACAGGCCAAUCUCCCUGAUGAACAUAGAUGCAGAAUCCUCAGAAACAAAACACACACACAGACACACAAACUAGCAAUCUGAAUCCAAUCGCACAUCAAAAAGAUAAUACACCAUAAUCAAGUGGGAUUUAUCCCAGGGAUUCAAGGAUGGUUCAACAUAUACAAAUCAAUAAAUGUGAUACAUCACAUUAACAGAAGGAAGGACAAAAAAAUACAUGAUCAUCUCAAUAGAUGCAGAAAAAGCAUCUGAUAAAAUUCAAAAUCUCUUCAUGAUAAAAAAAAAAGCUCAUCACAUAAUGUCUAGAAGGAACAUAACUCAAUGAAGGUCAUAUAUGACAAACCCACAGCCACCUGGGGAAAAGCUAAACACCUUCUCUCUUAGAACUAGAACAAGACAAGGAUGCCCACUUUCACUAUUCUUAUUCAGCAGAGUAAGAAAAGUCCUCACCAGAACAAUUAGGCAAGUAAAAGAAAAAGGGUAUCCAAAUUGGAAAAGAGAAUGUCAUAUUGUCCUUUGCAGAUGGCAUAAUCUUAUACAUAGAAAAACCUAAAGAUUCCACCAAAAUCUUUUAGAACUGGUAAAGGAAUUCAAUAAAGUUGCAGGAUAAAAAAAUCAACAAACAAAAAUUAGUAGGUGUGGACAUGAUGGCUCAUGCUUGUAAUUUCAGCACUUUGAAAGGAUGAGGCGGGUGGAUUGCUUGAGCCCAGGAGUUUGAGACUGUCCUGGGCAACAUGGCAAAACCUCAUCAGUACAAAAAUGAGCUGGGCGUGGUGGCCUGCACCUGAAGUUCAGCUACUCAGGAGGCUGAGAUGGGAGGAUCACUUGAACCUCGGAGGUGAAGGUUGCAGUGAGCAGAAAUUGCACCAUUGCACCCCAGCCUGGGCAACAGAGUGAGACCCUGUCUGCACUCCCCUGCCUCCCCCAAAAAAUCAGUAGCAUUUCUGUGAAACAGCAAAUUAGCCAAAAGAGAAAUGAAGAAAGCAAUCCCAUUUGCAAUAGCUACAAAAAAAAGCAAAGCUUAACCAAGGAGGUGAAAGAUUUCCACAAUGAAAACUAUAAAAUACUGAUAACAGUAAUUGAAGAGGCUACAAAAUUUUUUGAGACAUCCCAUGCUCAUGGAUUGAAAGAAAAAUGUUAAAAUGAUCAUAUUUACCUAUAGCAAUAUACAGAUGCUAUGAAAUCCCUAUCCAGAUAUCAGCAGGGGCUUCAAGAUGGCUGACUAGAGGCAUCUGGCACUCACCUCCUCCACAAAAUAUAGCAAGUAGGUAACCACAGUUUAUAUAGAUCGCCUCUGAGAGAAUGCUGGAAUUCAACUGAGAAGUAAUAAGAAAAACCCAAUGCAAGGGAUAAGAGGGGAGUCAGGCAGUCUGCUUCUAUGGGACUGGCUGGGAUCAUGAAGAGACUCCUCGAUGUGCAGAAAGGUAAGUAAGUGAGCCCCUAGUGGUCCACAUUCCCACAGCAGACUCCUGAAAUCCUAGUCAGAGAACCCCCUGACCCAUAGAUGCCUUGAGACUAACAAGAGGCUACCUACAGACUGUGAAAUGGCAAUGAACAGCUCCCAGAGAGGGAGAUCACCCUGAAUCCUCAGGCAAUUCACACAUCCCCUGAAUCCUCAGGCAACUUCAGGAAAGUCCCAUUUUGAUAGCCCAACCCCCACCAGACUGCAUCUGCUGUGGGCCCCACAUCCCUCUAUCUCAUCCCUGGAGCCCCAUGGACAUCCCUUACACAAAGCUGGUUGCCACUCCUGACUGCUCCCUCCAGGCCAAAGCAUGAGCCAUUGGCAAUACUCUGCUACCUCCGAAGCAAGGCUGCCAUGAGGAAAGGUGACCCUGCCCAUAGUCACCACCUGGGGCCGAAGCAUGCAUUGCCCAACUGCCUGUUUAUAGCUGCUGCCACUGAAAGCAAUCCCACUCAACUUCCCCAGGAGUAGGGCUGCAAUAGAGUUGCUGCUGCCCCAACAUGAGCAUUCAGCAGGGUAUACAGGGAUCUUCCUGUGCCUGCCUACCACAGUCAGUACAUUCUUGCAUUACUGGAGGGCCUCAGGACAGGCCCACCUGGCCUGGUCCCACCCUCUUUUCUCCCAGUGCCAGCGCAUACCAUCUCUGGGCCUAGGGAUCACCCUGCCCUAUCCAGUAUUGUUGGCACCUGAGCACUCCUGGGGGCUUGAGGACUGCCCUACCCAACUGACCAUUACCACCACAACUGGCAUUCACUUGAAUUUGCCACCUGUGGGCCUUGGGACAAGCUCAUCCAGCUUAUCCCAGCCAUCCCAAUACCAGCAUGGACACCUUGGGAGGCAGAAGAUUGUUCUGCCACUGCUACUGCCAUUGCCCAAGCCAUAUCUGCUGCUCAGAGCUCAAGGACCUACCCACCCUGUGGCCCAGCUCUGUCAUCAUUGGCACCUGAGCAAGUUGCCUGGAGGCCCAAAAUUGGUUUCCCUGGACUUGCUAACACUGGUACCAGCAUACACUACCAUUGGGCCCAAGGAUAAGCAUUCGGGGCCAGCCACUGCUGCCACUGGGGCCUGAGGACUGGCCCAGCUGGUGUCCCUAUCCCCAGCCAGACUUUACCACAGCCUCCACCAACAACUGCAUCCUAAACUACAGAGGAACUCCCAGACACUACUGGUGCUGUUUACAGCUGAAAAAAAUUCCAUGGAGAUCACACUACUGCAGGCACCCAGAAUCAAAACCAAAGUGCCCUGCCCAAAGAACACCAUAGAUAUAUCUUCAGGAACAAGACUCUCUUAGGAAAGACAGAUCAAAAAAUUGGAAGAAACUACUGUUACACCAGAUGUGCAGAUACCAGUGUAAGCACACAAGAAACAUGAAAAGGCAAAACAUGACAACUCCUAAGGAAUGCAAUAAUUCUCCAACAGAUUCCAGUGAAAAAGAAAUUGAUGAAACCUUGAAAAAUUCAAUAUAAUAUUAAAGAAGAUCUGAUAGACUAUACAAAGAAAUCAGAAAAAACAAUUCGGGGUAUGAAUGAGAAAUUUGCCCAAGAGAUAGAUAUAAAAAGAACCAAACAGAUAUUCUGGAAUUGAAUAAUAGAUUGAAUGAAAUAAAAAACAUAUUUGAAAGCUUCAAUAACAGACCACAACAAGCAGAAGAAAGAAUUUCACACCUUGAAGAUAAGUCUUUUGAAAUGACUCAGACAAAAAUAUAGAAAAAAUAGAAAAGAAUGAACAAAGGCUAUGUGACUAUAGGAUGCCAUAAGGUGACACCUUCAGUGUCCCAGAAGGUGAAGAGCAAACCAAAAGAUUAUAAAACCUAUUUAAUGAAAUAAUACCUGAACACUUCCCAAUCUCCCAAGAGAUUUAGAUCCAAAUAUAGGAAUCUCAGAACCCUAAAUAGAUACAAUUCAGAAAGGUCUUUUCCACAGCACAUUAUAGCAAAUUGCCCAUCCCAAGACAAAGAGAGAAUCAUAAAACCAGCGAUAAAAGAGGUUGUAGACACUUACAAGGGAACAACCUGCAGACUAACAGAUUUUUCAGCAGAAACUUUACAGGCCAGGAGGAUGGGAUUAUAUACGCAGAGUGCUGAAAGAAAAAACAAAACCAAAAACCUGCCAGCCAGGAAUACUGUACUUAGCAAAGUUAUAUUCGUCAGAAAUGAAGGAGAAAUAAAGUAUUUCCCUUAAAAGUAAAAGCUCAGGGAAUUAAUUGCCACUACACUGGCACUACAAAAAAUGCUUAAGGGAGUCUUACAGGAAGAAGUGAAAGGACAACUUCAUGAAAGCACACAAAAUAAUCAGAAAUCAAUUAAUGACAGGAAUAAGCCCUCACAUAUCAACAAUAACCUUGCAUAUAAAUAGAUUAAACUUUCUACUUAAAAGACAGACUGGCUGAAUGGACUUAAAAACAUGACCCAUCUAAAUGCUAUCUACAAGAAACGCAUCUCACCUGUAAAGACACAUAGUUGAAAGAAAGGAAUGGGAAAAGAUAUUACAUGCAAAAGGAAACAAAAACCAAACAGGAGUAGCUAUACUUUCAUCAGAUAAAACAAAGGUUAAGCUAAAAACACUAAAAAGAGACGAAGUCAUUAUAUAGUGACAGAGGGAUCAAUUGACCAAGAGGAUAUAACAAUUCUAAACAUAUAUGCACCCAACACCAAAGCACCCAGAUAUAUAAGGCAAACAUCAAAUCUGAAGGGAAAGGUAGACUUCAACACAAUAAUCUUGGGAACUUCAAUUCUCCAUUUCCAGUAUUAGACAGAUCAUCUAGACAAAAAAUUAACAAAGAAACAUUGGAUUUAAACUGCACUUUAUACCAAAUGGACCUAACAGACAUUUACAGACCAGUUCAUAAAACAGCUGCAGAAUAUACACUCUUCUCAUCAGUACAUGGAACACUCUCCAGGAUACAUUAUAUGUUAGGACACUAAGUAUGAUUUUAAAUAUAUAUAUAUUUUAAAUUGGAUUCAUAUCACAUAUCUUCUCAGACCACAAUAGCAUAAAACUAUAAAUAAAUAAGAGGAGCAUUCAAAACUGUAUAAAUAAAUGGAAAUUAACAUGUUCCUGAAUGACCAAUGGGUCAAAGAAGAAAUUAAGGCAGAAAUAAAAAAUUUACUGAAACAAGUGAAAAUAGAAGCACAACAUUCUGAAACUUAAGGGAUACUGCAAAAGCAAUGCUAAGAGGAAAGUUUAUUGUAAUAAAUGCCUCCAUUAAAAAAGGUAGAAAAGAUCUUAAAUAAUCUAAUGAUACACCUGAAGGAACCAGAAAAGCAAGAACAAACCAUACUAAACAUAAAAUUAGUAGAAGGAAAGAAAUAACGAAGAUCAGAGCAGAACUAAACAAGAAACUAAAUAAAUAUAAAGGAUCAAUGAAAUGCAAAAUCGGUUUUUGAAAAGAAACAAAAUAACCAGUGGCUAAACUAUCCAAGAAGAAAAGAGAGAAGACCUACAUGAAUAAAAUCAAAAAUGAAAAAGGGGAUAUUACAACUCAUACCAUGAAAUACAAAAAUCAAAACUCUUCAGUCUGAUCAAUAAAUUGAUUACAGUUACAGGAUUUAAAAAUCAGGCUUAUUUCUAUAUACCAAUAAAGAACCAGCUGAGAAAGAAAUCAAGAAGGCAUUAUCUUUUACAACCACUACAAAAAAUCUAGGAAUGAGUUUAACCAAAGAGGUGAGAAACCUCUAACAAGGAAAACUACAAAAGUCUGAUGAAAGAAAUUGAAAAGAACACACAAAAAACAUCCCAUUCUCAUGGAUUGGGAGAAUUAACAAAAUUAAAAUGACCAUACUACCCAAAGCAAUCUACAGAUUCAAUGCAGUCUCUCUCAAAAUACCAAUGCCAUUUUUCAUGGAAAUAGAAAAAAUCCUAAAAUUCAGAUGGAACCAAAAAAGAGCUGGAAUAGCCACAGCAAUUCUGAGCAAAAAUAACAAAGUUGGAUGCAUCACACUGCCUGAUUUAAAAAUAUAAGGCUAUAGCAUUAAAAGCAGCAUGGUAUUGGAAUAAAAACUGAUAGACCAAUGGAACAGAGUAGAACCUGGAAGUAAAUCCAUGUAUUUACAGCCAACUGAUUUUUGACAAAGAUGCCAAGAACAUACACUGGGAAAAGAGCACCCUCUUCACUUAAUGGAGCUGGGAAAAUAAGAUAUCCAUGUGAAAAAUGAAACCGUUUCUAUCUCUUGCUAUACUAAAAUCAACUCAAGAUGGGUUAAAGACUUAAACAUGAGGCAUGAAACUAUAACAUCACUAUUAAUGAAGGAGACAUUGGGGAAACACUUUAGGACAUUGGUCUAGGGAAAGAUUUUAUGGAUAAGACCUCAAAAACACAGACAAAAACAAAAAUAGACAAAUGGGACUAUAUUAAAUGAUAAAGCUUGUACACAACAAGGGAAACAAUCACCAGAGUGAAGAGACAGCCUGUUGAAUGGGAGAAAAUAUUUGCAAACUACUCAUCUGACAAGGUACUAAUACCAGAAUAUACUAGGAACUCCAAUAACUCAAUAGUAAACAACAAAUUAAUUCCAAUAAAAAGUGAGCAAAAGACAUGGAUAGAUAUUUCUCAAAAGAAAACAUACAAGUAGCCAACAGGUAUAUUUAAAAAAAAAAGCCCAACAUCAGUAAUUAUAAGGGAAAUGCAAGCCAAAACCAUAGUGAGAAUGGCUAUUUUAAAAAGACAAAAAUUAACCAAUGCUGGAGAGGAUGUGGAGGGAACUCUUAUACACUGUUGGUGGGAAUGUAAAUUAAUACUAUAGAAAACAGUUUGAUUUCUGAAAAACCUAAAAAGAGAAAUAUGACAUAAUCCAGCAAUCUCACUACUGGAUAUUUAUCUAAAGGAAAAGAUAUCAGUAUACUAAAAAUGUACCUGCAUCCCCGUGUUUAUUGCAGCACUAUUCACAACAGCAAAGAUAUGGACUCAGGAACCUAAGUGUACAUCAGUGGAUAAAUGGAAAAAGAAAAUGAGGUAAAUAUAUACAAUGGAAUACUAAUUGACCAAAGAAGAAUGAAAUCAUGUCCUUUGCAGCAACAUGAAUGGAGCUGGAGGUCAUUAUUUUAAGCCAGGCACAGAAAGAUAAUUAUCUUAUGUUAUUAUCAUAUGUGGGAGCUAUAAAAGUUGAUCUCAUGGAGGUAGAGAGUAGAAGGAUAGAUACCAAAGGCUGUGAAAGGUAUGUCUGGAGGGUGAAGAGAGGUUGGUUAGUGGGUAAAAAUACACAGCUAGUUAGAAUAAAUAAUUUAUAAUGUUUGAUAAGAGUUGGUUGACUAUAUUUAACAAUAUAAUGUAUAUUUCAAAAUAAAAAAGAGGACUUGAAAUGUUCCUAACUAUAGAGAUGAUAAAUUGAGGGUGAUGGAUACCCUGACUUGAUCAUUACACAUUCGAUGCAUGUAACAAUAGCACAUGUACCCCAUAAGUAUUAUGUAUCGGUCAAAAAAAAAAAAAAAAGGAAAUCCCAGUGCUUUGGGGGGCCAAGGCAGAAGGAUCGCUUGAGCCCAGGAAUUCAAGACCAGCCUGGGCAACAAUGCACGACCCUGUCUCUACAAAAAAUUAAGAAGUUAUCCAGGCAUGGUGGUGCAUGCCUGUAGUCCCAGCUACUUGAGGGGUCAAGGAUGGAGAAUGACUUGAGCCUGGGAGUUAAAGAUUGCAGUAAGUGGGGUGGUUCCAAGAUGGCCGAAUAGGAGGAGCUCCAGUCUAUAGCUCCCAGCGUGAGUGACGCAGAAGAUGGGUGAUUUCUGCAUUUCCAACUGAGGUAGUGGGUUCAUCUCACUGGGGCUCGUCAAGACAGUGGGUACAGGACAGUGGGUGCAGCCCACUGAGUGUGAGACGAAGUAGGGCGAGGCAUCGCCUCACCUGGGAAGCACAAGGGGUCAGGGAAUUCCCUUUCCUAGCCAACGGAAGGGGUGACAGACGGCACCUGGAAAACUGGAUCACUCCCACCCUAAUACUGUGCUUUUCCAAUGGUCUUAGCAAACGGCACACCAGGAGAUUAUAUCCCGCGCCUGGCUCGGAGGGUCCCACGCCCAUGGAGCCUCGCUCAUUGCUAGCACAGCAGUCUGAGAUCGAACUGCAAGGCGGCAGCGAGGCUGGGGGAGCCUGCCAUUGCUGAGGCUUGAGUAGGUAAACAAAGUGGCCAGGAAGCUCGAACUGGGUGGAGUCCACCACAGCUCAAGGAGGCCUGCCUGCCUCUGUAGACUCCACCUCUGGGGACAGAGCAUAGCCGAACAAAAGGCAGCAGAAACCUCUGCAGACUUAAAUGUCCCUGUCUCACAGCUUUGAAAAGAGUAGUGGUUCUCCCAGCACGGAGUUUGAGAUCUAAGAAUGGAUAGACUGCCUCCUCAAGUGGGUCCCUGACCCCCGAGUAGCCUAACUGGGAGGCACUCCCCAGUAGGGGCAGACUGACACCUCACACGGCUGGGUACUCCUCUGAGACGAAGCUUCCAGAGGAACAAUCAGGCAGCAACAUUUGGUGUUCAGCAGUAUUCGCUGUUCUGCAGCCUCUGCUGCUGAUACCCAGGCAAACAGGGUCUGGAGUGGACCUCCAGCAAACUCCAACAGACCUGCAGCUGAGGGUCCUGACUGUUAGAAGGAAAACUAACAAACAGAAAGGACAUCCACACCAAAACUCCAUCUAUACGUCACCAUCAUCAAAGACCAAAGGUAGAUAAAACCACAAAGAUGGGGAAAAAACAGCAGAAAAGCAGAAAAUUCUAAAACUCAGAGCACCUCUCCCCAUCCAAAGGAACGCAGCCACUCGCCAGCAAUGGAACAAAGCUGGACGGAGAAUGACUUUGACAAGUUGAGAGAGGAAGGCUUCAGACAAUCAAACUUCUCCGAGCUAAAGGAGGAAGUUCGAACCCAAAGCAAAGAAGCUAAAAACCUUGAAAAAAGAUUAGACGAAUGGCUAACUAGAAUAACCAGUGUAGAGAAGUCCUUAAAUGACAUGAUGGAGCAGAAAACCAUGGCACAAGAACUACGUGACAAAUGCACAAGCUUCAGUAGCCGAUUUGAUCAACUGGAAGAAAGGAUAUCGGUGAUUGAAGAUCAAAUGAAUGAAAUGAAGUGAGAAGAGAAGUUCAGAGAAAAAAGAGUAAAAACAAACGAACAAAGCCUCCAAGAAAUAUGGGACUAUGUGAAAAGACCAAAUCUACAUCUGACUGGUGUACAUGAAAAUGACAGGGAGAAUGGAACCAAGUUGGAAAACACUCUUCAGGAUAUUAUCCAGGAGAACUUCCCCAACCUAGCAAGGCAGGAUAUUAUCCAGGAGAACUUCCCCAACCUAGCAAGGCAGGCCAACAUUCAAAUUCAGGAAAUACAGAGAAUGCCACAAAGAUACUCCUCAAGAAGAGCAACUCCAAGACACAUAAUUGUCAGAUUCACCAAAGUUGAAAUGAAGGAAAAAAUGUUAAGGGCAGCCAGAGAGAAAGGUUGGGUUACCCACAAAGGGAAACCCAUCAGACUAACGGCGGAUCUCUCAGCAGAAACUCUACAAGCCAGAAGAGAGUGGGGGCCAAUAUUCAACAUUCUUAAAGAAAAGAAUUUUCAACCCAGAAUUUCAUAUCCAGCCAAACUAAGCUUCAUAAGUGAAGGAGAAAUAAAAUCCUUUAUAGACAAGCAAAUGCUGAGAGAUGUUAUAACCACCAGGCCUGCCCUACAAGAGCUCCUGAAGGAAGCACUAAACAUGGAAAGGAACAAUUGGUACCAGCCACUGCAAAAACAUGACAAAUUGUAAAGACCAUAGAUGCUAGGAAGAAACUGCAUCAACUAACGAGCAAAAUAACCAGCUAACAUCAUAAUGGAUCAAAUUCACACAUAACAAUAUUAACCUUAAAUGUAAAUAGGCUAAAGGCUCCAAUUAAAAGACACAGACUGGCAAAUUGGAUAAAGAGUCAAGACCCAUCAGUGUGCUGUAUUCAGGAGACCCAUCUCACGUGCAGAGACACACAUAGGCUCAAAAUAAAGGGAUGGAGGAAGAUCUACCAAGCAAAUGGAAAAUAAAAAAAGGCAGGGGUUGCAAUCCUAGUCUCUGAUAAAACAGACUUUAAACCAAUAAAGAUCAAAAGAGACAAGGUCAUUACAUAAUGGUAAAGGGAUCAAUUCAACAAGAAGAGCUAACUAUCUUAAAUAUAUAUGCACCCAAUACAGGAGCACCCAGAUUCAUAAAGCAAGUCCUUAGAGAUCUACAAAGAGACAGACUCCCACACAAUAAUAAUGGGAGACUUUAACACCCCACUGUUAACAUUAGACAAAUCAACAAGACCGGAAGUUAACAAGGAUAUCCAGGAAUUGAACUCAGCUCUGCACCAAGUGGACCUAAUAGACAUCUACAGAACAUUCCAACCCAAAUCAACAGAAUAUACAUUCUUCUCAGCAUCACAUCGCACUUAUUCCAAAAUUGACCACAUAAUUGGAAGUAAAGCACUCCUCAGCAAAUGUAAAAGAACAGAAACUAUAACAAACUGUCUCUCAGACCACAGUGCAAUCAAACUAGAACUCAGGAUUAAGAAACUCACUCAAAACCGCUCAACGACAUGGAAACUGAACCACCUGCUCCUGAAUGACUACUGGGUACAUAACGAAAUGAAGGCAGAGAAAUAAAGAUGUUCUUUGAAACCAAUGAGAACAAAGACACAACAUACCAGAAUCUCUGGGACACAUUUAAAGCAGUGUGUAGAGGGAAAUUUAUAGCACUAAAUGCCCACAAGAGAAAGCAGGAAAAAUCUAAAAUUGAUGCCCUAACAUCACAAUUAAAAGAACUAGAGAAGCAAGAGCAAACACAUUCAAAAGCUAGCAGAAGGCAAGAAAUAACUAAGAUCAGAGAAGAAUUGAAGGAGAUAGAGACACAAAAAACCCUUCAAAAAAUCAAUGAAUCCAGGAGGUGGUUUUUUUGAAAAGAUCAACAAAAUUGAUAGGCCUCUAGCAAGACUAAUAAAGAAGAGAGAAGAAUCAAAUAGAUGCAAUAAAAAAUGAUAAAGGGGAUAUCACCACCGAUCCCACAGAAAUACAAACUACCAUCAGAGAAUACUAUAAACACCUCUAUGCAAAUAAACUAGAAAAUCUAGAAGAAAUGGAUAAAUUCCUGGAGACAUACACCCUUCCAAGACUAAACCAGGAAGAAGUUGAAUCCCUGAAAAGACCAAUAACAGGCUCUGAAAUUUAGGCAAUAAUUAAUAGUCUACCAACCAAAAAAAGUCCAGGACCAGACGGAUUCACAGCCGAAUUCUACCAGAGGUACAAGGAGGAGCUGGUACUAUGCCUUCUGAAACUAUUCCAAACAAUAGAAAAAGAGGGAAUCCUCCCUAACUCAUUUUAUGAGGCCAGCAUCAUCCUGAUACCAAAGCCUGGCAGAGACACAACAAAAAAAGAGAAUUUUAGACCAAUAUCCCUGAUGAACAUUGAUGCAAAAAUCCUCAAUAAAAUACUGGCAAACCGAAUCCAGCAG